CACAAGGUUCUCAGUUUAAUACAUUUGAUAAUGAUAGCUAUGCUGGUAACUUGGGGCUGUGUGGAAAUCCAUUGUCCAAAAAGUGUGAACCUGAUAUUGUGGAGAAAGAAAGUGACGAAGAUGAGGAUGAUGAUUACUUCUUUAGUGGAUUUACUUGGGAAGCGGUGGUGAUUGGAUAUGGGUGUGGAGUGGUGCCUGCAUUUAUCACUGGCUACCUGAUGUUGUUGGCACGGAAACCAAAAUGGUUUGCUGGAAUCAUUGGCAGGGAAUUGGGCCUGAAGAUCAGGAGGAUGGAGAUUAGAAUGCGAUAACUAAAGGUUUGCUGUAAUCUAUAUCCCAUUUGUAGGUCUUCAAUAUUCAGUAAUAAUAUAGUAAUAUCUGCUAUCAUAUAAUUCUAUAUUUGCAGAUUGGAGAGGCAUGAACAUUUUGGCAUGUAAGUUGAUGGGACAAGCAGGAUUCAGAUGCACAUGAAUCAACUACUUCGGUGUUGUAGGCAGCUAGGUUAAUAAACCACUACUUGAGCUGUUAAGCAUCUUUGGUCAUUUUAAAUAUAAAUUGUACAAUAAAAGAUACUUACUCUGCACAUAUUCUAAGUUCCAUAUACAAGUUCUGUAUUGUUUAGUUACUCUGCACAAACUCUAAGUUAGUUUCAACCACUGGGGUGUAAGCAGCCAAGUUAAUAAACCAGCAGUUUCUGUAGCUUUCACAACGUUGCUUCAUAUUAUUUUCCCCCUUGUUAGAUGAGCAAUAUAUUUGUGGAAUGGAUGUACCUGAAUUUGGUAUCCGAAGCUUAGUUAUAGAAAUUGUAGAUCAGCUAGUUUGCAACUUACUGGAAUGCUUUCCAUUGGACUUGAUUUACUCGUAGAGAAGCAGCACGCAAUGUUAAGGAAGGCCUGAUACAUAAUGUAUUUAAGAUAAUGUUUUGCAUCAAUUAUUACAAAAAGCUACUACUUUAAAUUGAUGAACAUUUACUAUAGCAGUACUGUGGUAUUAAAGUGAGUACUAAUAUUAGUGGCGGAGGCAGAACACAAUGUUAGGGGGGCACUUUUUAAUUUUUAACAUUCUAGGGGCAAUUUUUAACAUUCCAGGGGACACAAAAAAUAAUAUUUUGUAGAUUAAUAUUAUCAAAUAGAGUUAAGUUCUAUGGAGUACAUAAAAACAUUAGAGUAUUGGAGUACAAAUCAUAAUUUUUUUUAGUUUGAUUCUAUAUAAUAUCUUUGAAUAUCCAAAUUUUGAUAUAAUCUAUCAUUUAUAAGUUGUGUUGCACAUAAUUGUCAAUUAAUCAUUAAUAUCUUUCAACUUUAACAAAGAUUAAGAUUAUUGUUCUGCUUAUUAGUUAUAUUGCAGAACAUAGAGUCCUAUGAUUUAUAAAAGUAAUUAUUCUACCAUUUGAUCAUGAUGUUUAUGUUGCAGAACAUAAUGUGCAGGUUGUCAAAUAUUUACAAAUAUUAUUGGACAAAAAAAUUGAAAUUUAGAUGACUAAAUUACAUUUUAUCAAACUUUGUACUCCAAUACUCCAAUUUUUUUUUGUACUCCAUAGAACUUAACUCUUAUCAAAUAUAUGGAUCUUAUAUAAAAACAUACACAUUUUUCUGAAACUUAUGAGGGCAUGGGCACCCAGAGGCCCCCAUGUCCCUCCGCCUCUGCUAAUAUAAGAUGUUAGUCGAGUUCGAAGAAGUUUUGGAAUUCUUUUUAUUGAGAGUUUUUGCAAAACGUGGUUAGGAAAUUGAGAAUUUUGAGUUUUAAAAUUAGCUGUAAAAAAUAAUCGGUCAAUUGUAUUAGAUAUUACAUGCAUUUGAGUUUUAAAAUUAGGUGUAAAAAAUAAUGGGUCAACUGCAACAGAAAUGAAUUGGUUUGGUUUCACCCGGAAGAGUUCUGCACUUCACACUCUAGAUUCCAGAAAUAAAAAAAUUCAAAUAUAAAAUGUCAAAUAUUUUAGUUUAUACUCCCUCCGUCCAUUUUAGAUUUUUAGUUGUCACUGCCGGUCAAAUUGACCAAAAUUUGACUAAAAUUUAUUAAUAUUUUAUUAAUUGAAAAAAUAAAAAAAUUAUGUUACCACAAAUUACUUUCAAUCUACAUGAAAUUUUCAAUUUUUUAAAAUAAUGAAGAAGUAACUUGUAAUCUUUGAUCAAAAAUUAGUUAAUUUGACAUAAAAAAAAAAUUGUUACAACUAAAAUGGACCAAGGAAGUACAUAAGAUUUGCUAGUUACCUGCUUACCUUCACUCCUUAUGUCUUAAGCCACUCUUUAUUAUUUUUGAUUACAUAAUAAAUAUGUUUAAACUUUUAACUUUUUAUAUUUAAUAAAUUUAUAUAAUUUAAUUAUUAAAUUUUUUGAUUUGUAUUAAGUUUAAUUUAUAGAUACAUUUAUAUCAAAAUUACUAAAAUCAAUCAAAAUUUUAAUAUUUUGAUUCAGUAACCAGAAUAUAAAUAUAUUUAACUUUUGAAAUGAUAUAUAAAUAGUUUAUGAUUAAAAAAAAUUAAUAAGUAACUUGCACAAUUUCUCUUAAUUACAGUAAUAAAUCUCUUAUUAGUACUUUCAACUAAAUAUUUCUCCCAAACACUUAUAAUUUAUGUCCAAUUUUCAUAUUAUUUCUUUUAGAAAGAUUGUUGUAUUAUUUUAAAUUUUAGUAAUUAAAUCAGUUUUAUUUUUAUGAAUUCCAAAUUUAAAAACCUUAAUAUUUUUGUCACGCUACUUCUUAUUUGUAAUACAAAUUAUUUCUAGAUAAAAUUAAUAUAUUAAUAAAUAUAGUGUAAUUAACUACAUAUAAUACAUUGAAAUUAAAUAAAUAUGCUCUGUACAUUUUUUUCACAUGCAAAAAACUGCACUGUUUCGGUUUAAGCAAAGCUUGAUAAUCAGGACUCCUAGCUGGAAUGGCGAGUAUUAUUCCUACGAAGAAGAUGAUGUUCAUGAUAUCCCUUCACCCCCAAAGACAAUGAAUUGGAGCAUGAAUUCUGAUUACUGUGCAUGUGGGAUGGAGUUAGCUGCGACGAGAAUACAGGGGACCUAACCGGACUGGAUUUAAGCUGCAGUCAUCUGGUGCAUUGGAAUGAAAUUAUAGAACUUCUUCAGAGCCUGAUGCUCUCGAGGAUGCAGUAAUGAACAAGCCUAAUGAUGAUCAUGAGUCAUAACUCCGUCCUCGAGAGCCUGAUGCUCUCGAGGAUGCACUAAUGAACAAGCCUAAUGAUGAUCAUGAGUCAUAACUCCGUCCUUGAAUAAAGUGUCAUGAAACAUAUUUUGUAUUACAUUUUGUAUUAUUGGAAACUUGAUUUGAAACCAAAAUAGUUUGGUGGAAUCAUUGCCAGGGUAUUGGGUCUGAAGAUCGAGGAUGGAGAAUAAAUUGAUUUUGUUCAAAUAUUUAACACAAGCCCAUCAUCAUUAUCCAACACAAGCCCGGUCCAGUAUAGAGUUCUGGCAACUCCAUUGUUGAACACUUCUGUUGAAGUUGGCCUGUCUGGCAGACAAGAGGCCCUGUUUUAGAGGUGAUAUAUGCGCACAGGUAAAAAAUGUAUAUUUCUUCCAAUAGAUUACAUCUCUUUUCUUCAAAAUUUAUUGUAGUUUCAAAAAGUAGCAUUUGAGAACUCAUUCUAUUCCCCUUUUAAAUACUUGGUCUUGGUCAAUACAAACACGAUUAAGACCGGUGUCAAUAUCCCUCAUAAUUUUUCCACUCCUUUGAAUGGCAUUCUACAAUCCACAUAUCAGACUCAUAAAUAAUUAGUUGAAAUCAUUACCAUAGUCCAUAGCGAAAAGACUUUCACCAUUGAACCAUUGCAUAGAUAAUUGAAGAAAGAAACUUCAACAUAUUUGCAUAUCUUUAUCUAUCUUUUUUUCUAGUCAUCAACAGGCACAAGCUGUUGAUUUUUAUAUGUUCUUAAUUGGUAUAAGCAUUUAAGGUGAGUGUUGAUAUUUCUCACUAAUCUUCUUCUGCUCUAAGUGACAUAUUAUUACAAUCCACAAAUUAGUAGACAGACUAAUAUGGUUAGUUGAGACCAUCAAUCUGGAGAACAGACUAAUACAUGUGUAGUAAUCUGAUCAUCAUUUAUUUGAUUACAAUAGAAAUUCGGCUUUGUUUAGUUCCAUCCUCGGGCUCUUCAUUUCUAAACAUAUUUGCUGAUACUUUUUAUUGUACAAUUUAGAAUAUUCCAUAAAAUUUUAUAUUCGGUGCUAGAUGAAUUUAUGUCUUGUUUUCAUUCCAUUCAUGAACUAAUGAAAAUUUUAAAAUUGGGUCAUAUUAGGCAGUGAUGCCACCUUUCUGGACCUGCAUUUCAUGACCACAAACUCCUAUUGUGCCAAAAAAUUCCAGCUGUUUCGUGAGAUUUUUCUACGUGCUCUUUUGUUCGGACUUGUUUGCUGAAUCCCACAAUAGACAAUAUUGAUGUUAACAACUCUUGCGUCAGUUACUAGACUCGUUGUUAGUAGCCCAUUCUUUACGGCAGACGUGGAAUUUACUUGAAGAAAUGAAGGUGUAAGAACAGGGGCGGAUCCAGCCUUCGCAUCUCACCCGGGCUGAAAGCCUGAAACACUUAUAACCUUGAAGGUAUACAGUGGAGGUGAAGAGGGGAAAAAAAUAUAUAUGGUACUGACAGUGACAUGGAAAUAUGGAUAUUAUUCUUUUAACCUGCUGCAGGGACUAUCAGCUGGUAAAUUCAUGUCAAAUCAAUUUUUUUGACNGCCGAGACGAGUCGGCGAGACGGCCGAGACGAGUCGUCGACGUGCGAGACGAGUUGGCGCGAGACGGGCGAAGCGAGACAUCUCCGAGACGAGUCAUGCGUGCGUGCCGAUACGUACGAGCCGAGACGAGGCGUCCACGUUUUCUCAAACCCAGGCUCGUGAUCGCCUCGUCUAUUUNACUAUAACUAAUAAUUCAUGUCAAAAUCAAGAUUAUAAAAAUUAAUAAUAUGACUACAAAAAUAAAAUAUAAACGUAAGGUAAUAACAUAUGGUAAACCUGAAUAUAUUUUAGUAACAAUUGUUUUGACAUAGUUAGAUUAAGGGAUUAAAUUAUUAUAUAAAAUAAUAAAAGUAGCUAUAUAUUAAAAAAAUAAAGCUAUAUUUAUAUAAUUAGUUUAAACACGUCAAAAGGUCAAAAAGCAAGAUUAAACCGCUUAGCUUAUAUAAACACCAUGACCGACUGUUUGACCUAAACUAAACAAAUUUAUAUUUAAAAUACAAAAUUACAUGAAUAAAACCGAAAUAGGGUUACAAUUCAUAAAAGUUAACAGCAACUCUGGUUAAUUAAUAAAGUUCCAGACCCAAAACUGAGAAAAGUGUCGGGCUUUUUAAAAUUUUAGACCGGGCUAAAGAUCAGUAAACUUUCGUCGAGGCUGGUAAAAUUUUUUGUAUCAUAAAACUCACCCGGGCUUUAGCCCACCGGAGCCCAUACAUAGAGAAAGUUGAGAACAUUUUGUUGAUUAUUCCCUUCCCUAGAAACUGCACUCCGCCAUCAAAGUACCUUUCAAAGACUCCAGCAUCAUUUCUUGAUUAUCAAAGUCUUCGUCUUUGUCAUCUCCUGCUCUGAAAGUGUUUCUAUUGCAGACCACAUAUUAGUAGACAGACUACUAAAAUUCAUCUAAAAUGACCUCUCUGCGUGGGCUCUUUUGAACAAUCAGGGUUGGACAUGAUUCUACACGCAUCAGAGAAAAACUAUCAGCUGGCUAAANUCUUCAAAAUUUAUUGUAGUUUCAAAAAGUAGCAUUUGAGAACUCAUUCUAUUCCCCUUUUAAAUACUUGGUCUUGGUCAAUACAAACACGAUUAAGACCGGUGUCAAUAUCCCUCAUAAUUUUUCCACUCCUUUGAAUGGCAUUCUACAAUCCACAUAUCAGACUCAUAAAUAAUUAGUUGAAAUCAUUACCAUAGUCCAUAGCGAAAAGACUUUCACCAUUGAACCAUUGCAUAGAUAAUUGAAGAAAGAAACUUCAACAUAUUUGCAUAUCUUUAUCUAUCUUUUUUUCUAGUCAUCAACAGGCACAAGCUGUUGAUUUUUAUAUGUUCUUAAUUGGUAUAAGCAUUUAAGGUGAGUGUUGAUAUUUCUCACUAAUCUUCUUCUGCUCUAAGUGACAUAUUAUUACAAUCCACAAAUUAGUAGACAGACUAAUAUGGUUAGUUGAGACCAUCAAUCUGGAGAACAGACUAAUACAUGUGUAGUAAUCUGAUCAUCAUUUAUUUGAUUACAAUAGAAAUUCGGCUUUGUUUAGUUCCAUCCUCGGGCUCUUCAUUUCUAAACAUAUUUGCUGAUACUUUUUAUUGUACAAUUUAGAAUAUUCCAUAAAAUUUUAUAUUCGGUGCUAGAUGAAUUUAUGUCUUGUUUUCAUUCCAUUCAUGAACUAAUGAAAAUUUUAAAAUUGGGUCAUAUUAGGCAGUGAUGCCACCUUUCUGGACCUGCAUUUCAUGACCACAAACUCCUAUUGUGCCAAAAAAUUCCAGCUGUUUCGUGAGAUUUUUCUACGUGCUCUUUUGUUCGGACUUGUUUGCUGAAUCCCACAAUAGACAAUAUUGAUGUUAACAACUCUUGCGUCAGUUACUAGACUCGUUGUUAGUAGCCCAUUCUUUACGGCAGACGUGGAAUUUACUUGAAGAAAUGAAGGUGUAAGAACAGGGGCGGAUCCAGCCUUCGCAUCUCACCCGGGCUGAAAGCCUGAAACACUUAUAACCUUGAAGGUAUACAGUGGAGGUGAAGAGGGGAAAAAAAUAUAUAUGGUACUGACAGUGACAUGGAAAUAUGGAUAUUAUUCUUUUAACCUGCUGCAGGGACUAUCAGCUGGUAAAUUCAUGUCAAAUCAAUUUUUUUGACUUUAUAUAUAUAUAUACUCAUUUACAUAUAAAAAAAAUAUAAAAUUUAAGAAUCUCAAAUAUUGGAGGUAGCCUGAAUAACAUUUGUUUGUCACUAAUACAAUAAAAAUUAAUUUUGUAUGAUCAGCUACAUAGACUAAAUCAUUUUAUUUUAUUUAUUUUAAACUAUAACUAAUAAUUCAUGUCAAAAUCAAGAUUAUAAAAAUUAAUAAUAUGACUACAAAAAUAAAAUAUAAACGUAAGGUAAUAACAUAUGGUAAACCUGAAUAUAUUUUAGUAACAAUUGUUUUGACAUAGUUAGAUUAAGGGAUUAAAUUAUUAUAUAAAAUAAUAAAAGUAGCUAUAUAUUAAAAAAAUAAAGCUAUAUUUAUAUAAUUAGUUUAAACACGUCAAAAGGUCAAAAAGCAAGAUUAAACCGCUUAGCUUAUAUAAACACCAUGACCGACUGUUUGACCUAAACUAAACAAAUUUAUAUUUAAAAUACAAAAUUACAUGAAUAAAACCGAAAUAGGGUUACAAUUCAUAAAAGUUAACAGCAACUCUGGUUAAUUAAUAAAGUUCCAGACCCAAAACUGAGAAAAGUGUCGGGCUUUUUAAAAUUUUAGACCGGGCUAAAGAUCAGUAAACUUUCGUCGAGGCUGGUAAAAUUUUUUGUAUCAUAAAACUCACCCGGGCUUUAGCCCACCGGAGCCCAUACAUAGAGAAAGUUGAGAACAUUUUGUUGAUUAUUCCCUUCCCUAGAAACUGCACUCCGCCAUCAAAGUACCUUUCAAAGACUCCAGCAUCAUUUCUUGAUUAUCAAAGUCUUCGUCUUUGUCAUCUCCUGCUCUGAAAGUGUUUCUAUUGCAGACCACAUAUUAGUAGACAGACUACUAAAAUUCAUCUAAAAUGACCUCUCUGCGUGGGCUCUUUUGAACAAUCAGGGUUGGACAUGAUUCUACACGCAUCAGAGAAAAACUAUCAGCUGGCUAAAGACCUCUCUGCAUCAACUCUAUUAAGAAAAGAAACUAUGGCUCAUACAGUUUAAGUUGAUAUCAAAUCGUAAAUGAGAAUACUUGCAGUUUUAAAUUACUGCACGCUAUUUUUUUUAACGAAAAUAUGUGCAGUUUUAACAUAGUCUAAUUAUUUUCUUGAUGACGGCUAUGCAAAUUGUGAUAGUUGAAUUUUUUUUAUGGUCUUUGACAAGCAUCAAGGAAAUUGUGAUAGUUGAAUUACCCUGAUUGUCAAAAACUACCUCGUAAUCAGAACGGGUUUUUUUUUGAGUUUGUUAAGGAUUCUCUCCAGGCAAAAGUUUCUCUUAUGCAGUUGAAGGUGAAAAUUAAGUCGUUGAAGAGGAAAUAUAAGUCUCUCAAAGAUUAUGAUGUUGUGUUUGACAAACCCAUGGAAGAGGAAUUGUUUCGCCUUUCCGAUAAGGUUUGGAGCCAAGGGAUUGAUAAUCAGGGUAAUGCUGCUAGCAAGGACAAGGAUAUAAGUAUCGAGAUCAAAGAGGAUGGAGUGAUUGAGGACUGUAGGAAGGAUAAGGAUACGAGCAUUGGGAUAAAUGAGGAUGGAGUGAAUGAGGCCGGUAGGAAGGAAAAGGAUACGAGAAUCGGGAUAAAUGGGGAUGGAGUGAAUGAGGACGGUAGGAAGGACAACGAUAUGAGCAUCGGGAUAAAUGGGGAUAUGGUAGAAGCCUCCAGGCUAAUGUGUCGAAGGGGAGGACAUGGAUGCUAUGGAAAUUUAGUUAGGAGGAAAUAUAAAUCAUGCUAACAGGAGCAGAUGAUGAACUUGAUUGCAAUGAAGAACUGAAGUUCCACAACGAGAUGAAGUCGACGAAGGAAGGUAGGAAGGACAAGGAUACGAUCAUCAGUCUUGUAUUUAGCUUGAUCGAAAAUAACUGUUCUCUUCAAAUUCUUUCCCUNUCUCUACUCUGUAGCUUACACAUCAUUGAUUCAUAUUAUUUUCCCUUAGGAACUUGAGAGACAUUUGGCAUCUAAAGAAGCUUCUCUCCCGCAAGAACCAUCACCAGAUGAUGAUAAUGCCGUUAACCUGCUUGUGCGGAUGCCGGAUGGCGGCCGGCAAGGCCGCAGAUUCCUCAAGUCCCACAAGCUUCAGGUAUUUAUUCCGUGACAAUAUUUUUCCAGUUAUUGGUUAAAAGUUGUAUAAUUGGUUGUUACUUGAUUUGCAGCAUCUUUUUGACUUCAUCGAUGUUGGUCGGUUGGUCAGACCUGGUACUUACAGACUGGUAAUCCUUCAUGUGCUUUUUUACCUUUCACACUUAAUUCUUGUGGGGGCACACUUAUAUUUUUACAAAGUUUUAAAUGACGAAUAAAUUCCAAAUAAUUUUUAUGGGGGACAGUCCCCCUUGCUAGAUCCCCUCCUGGUGUCCAAACUUUUUUUACAUUUCAUAAUUGAUUGUCUGGACCGGCAAAGAGCAAUGAAUAUUCAUUUUAGUCACAUAGGAGUGUCGGGGUUUGUAUUGUUGUUAUGCUUGAUAGUAUAUAGAGAGCUUAUUGACUAGUUGACUCAACAUCGUUUCUUUUUCCUUUCCCCCAUCUUCUCUGGUGAUUAAUGUUUGCGUGAUCCCACUAGUCCUUCCGCAAAAAAAAAAAGAAGUUAUAUUGUAUUUUUAAAAUGAAUUGCAUUUCAAACUAUUUGUUUGAUAAGUAGGGUACUCGUGUAAUUUAAUUGUAAUAUCGAUACCUUUUUUUGUAACACCAAAGAAAAAUUAGAAUCUUUAUAGUGUCAGGACUCUUGAUACUUGGUAGAUGCUUGAGAAGAAGGCUGUAUUUGAAGAUAUGGAGAAUGUGGUAACCAUAUGACUAAGGUCAACUAACUUUUGCUUGCUAAAGUGGAACUCUGUCAAAAAUUUAUCUGUAUCUAUCUCUUUUUUGUAGUCAUCAGUAGAUUUACUCUUCCAUAUGUAUCAGGGUCAAGUUGUUGAAAUAUAUCAGUCCUUAAUAGGUGUUAGCACAAUUUAGAUGAGCAAAAUAUUUAAGGAACGUAUGUACUUCAACUUGGCAUGCAAAACGAGUUAUACAAAUGGUAGAUUAGCUAGUUGGUAAUUUAAUGAGAAUCCUUUCCAUUGGACUUGAUUCAUUGAUAGAGAAGCAAAGCACAAUGUUACUUCCUGAUACAUAAUGUAUUUAUGCCUCGUAUAGAUAUAUUAUGAUUGUUAGAAUUAAACAUGUUUUAUUUUGCACAGGCAAGGCCGUAUCCAAGACGGGCUUUUGGUGUUGGUGAGAGCUCAACAACUUUUGAUGAACUUGGCCUGUCUGGCAGACAGGAGGCCUUGUUUCUGGAGUUAAUAUAGCAGAUAUAGUUAUCGUAAAAUUGUAAUAGGAUCUCGAAGAGUUUACCCAGAUGGACCAACUUUGUUUGUUAGUUGUAAAAGUUGUUUAGAGAUGGAUAUUUUGUCAAAGUUUGUAUCUAUUGGGUAUUUGGUCUUUUAGUCAGACUGUGGCUCAUACAGUUUGAAGUUGAUAUCAAAUCUUAGAUGAGAAUGUUUGCAGUUUGAAAUUACUGAACAUUGUUUCUUGAAUUCGAUAUCGAAUUUUAAACGAGAAUAUGUCCAGUUCCACUACAAGAGAAAGCGAUUCUACCAAUGGAAUUUGCUAAGGGAAAUUAGUCCGUUGGUAGUUCCCAACGGAUUUGUAAUGAUUUGACUAGUCAAUGUUCUGCCAACCAAGUCGCAACGAAAUACCCACGUUUAUUUACCAACGAAACGUUCCGUUAAGAAAUAUAACCACAUAAUGGAAUAGUAACAAAAGGCCAAGGAAUGAGCAACAGACUAGUAACGAAAAUAUCUGUUAUUACGUUCAUUGAUAUUCCGUUGAUAAAUACUAACAAUUCCGUUAGUAAUUGAUUAUUAGUUUUAUAACAUGGACAAUUGAUAUACACUACAUGAGCAGUCUCUUAUUUGACAUUUGUGUCAUGCUAAAGCCCAAUGGGCUUUAGUCGAUUAAAUUGAUUUGGGUUGUAGAAAACGGCCAAUAAUAUAAUGGACUUUGAUAUGUAUCGUAAAUAUUAAGUAAUUUUCUUGGAUUUAUGUAUAUAACAUAAUUGUUAAUUGGCUCAUCCUUAACUAGAAAUUUUAUAUUACAUUCUUAACUAGAAAUUUUAUAUUUAAAAAAAAUUAAUCUUUUAUGUGGUAUGUGGAUUUUGUAGUCAAAUGCGGUCAAUUUACUUAGCCUUUGAUCGGAUACCUACCCAAAACAUAAAAAUAUUUUUUAUUUUCGAUGAUCCAGCUAUACGGAUAUUAUUGUAAUGUGAUAAUAUUGAUUAAAUUUUUUUUUAAAAAAGUAGCAUUUUAUUUGGUAUGUGAAUUUUGUAGUCAAAUGCAAUUAAAUUACUUAGUCUCUAAUGGAAUACUUGCCCGAAACAUAAAACUAUUUUCUUAAAACACAAUUUGGACGAUCCAACCAUACAGAUGUUAUUAUAACGUGUUAAUAUUGGUUAAAAUAAUUUUUAAGAAUAUAUGUCUUUUAUUUGGUGUGUGGAUCUUGCAGUCAAAUGCGGUCAAAUUACUUAGCCUUCAAUCGAAUACUUACCCAAAACAUGAAACUGUUUUUUUAAAAAUCAUUUCGGACGAUCCAACCGUACGGAUAUUAUUGUAAUGUGAUAAUAUUGAUUAAAUUUGUUUUUGAAAAAUUUUAGCUUUUGAUUUGGUGCGUGGAUUUUGUAGUCAAAUGCGGUCAAACUACUUGGCCUUUAAUGAAAUACUUACACGAAACAUGAAAUUAUUUUUUUUUAAAACCAUUUUGGAUGAUCCAACCGUGCGGAUGUUAUUAUAACGUGUUAUAUUGAUUAAAAUAUUAUUUAAAAAAUAGCCUUUUAUUUGGUGUGUGGAUUUUGUAGUCAAAUGCUCAAAUUACUUAGCCUUUAAUCGAAUACUUACCUUAAACAUGAAACUAUUUUUAAAAAAAUUAUUUUGGAUGAUUCAAACUGUAGGGAUGUUAUUUUAACAUCUUAAUAUUGAUUAAAAUUAUUUUAAAACAAUUUAGUUUUUUUUUAUGUGUGAAUAUUUUAGUCAAGUACGAUAAAUUAUUUAUUUAGCCUUCAAUGAAAAAUUAAAAAUCCCGCACAGCCAAAAGUUUUCCCUCGUUUUGUGAAUCUUCCCCAGCCAUUUCCCCCCAACCCCAACCCCGAAAUUCACAAAACUCUCCCCCCAAAUUAGCUCGGCCUCUCCCAAAUCUCUAUCUCUCUUUGUAUAUCUUUAGGUGUGUUUUGUAGAGGCGGCCACCUCCAAAGCUUCAAAAUAAUCAAACUUAUCACCGCCGCUGUUCGAGAAUGAAUUUCUUUUAGGAGAUUCGUCGAUUUAGUUAUCAAAUUAGUUACCAUUAGGGUUCUACUCCGAUUUUCAAUAGUAUGAUGUUGGGGUUCGAUUGGUCGAUUGUCAUGUUUUAUAAGUUAUGUGGGUUCGAUUUUGAUGUUUUUACAAUUAGGUUUAUGUAUGUUUUUAUACGGGUUUCAUGUUCAUGUUUCGAUUUGUUGAUUUCCUAUUUUUCCUAUAUGUUAAUUUGUUAUUUGUGUGGAUUUUGGAUUUUGAUGUGUGUGUGUGUAAUGCCCUGUUUUUUUUUCAUUUUUUCAGGUUCGAACACUUCGAUUAGUAGCCGGAAAAACAACUGAUGCGGCAGUAGCGGCUAGCAAGGAGAUGAAUAACAAGAAAAGGCCGAUUUCGAGGUCAUCUCGUGCAAGUCUUCAGGUAUAGUUUUAUUCCUUUAUAUUUUUAAUCGACAUAAAUCUAACAAGUAAUUAUAGUUCUAACAAGUAAUUAUAGUUCUGAAUGGGGAGCUUAUUGUGAAAUUGAAUUGAGGGACAAGUUGUGUUAUUGGUUCCAGUAGAUAAAUUUAUGUUGACACUUGAUAUAUGCAUUUUUCCACUAUGAUGCUCCCUUUGGUUUGCUUAAGGUCAAGUACCGUUACUUAAUGCAUUUACAAGUAUUCCAGAACAAGUUUGUGCGCCAUAGUGCUACCUUAAUCUAUGAAUUUGAUGCCAGGCACUUUAGGUGUUAUCUCUUAUUGAUUUUUUAUUGGAGAGUUUGGGUGUUUUCUGGAAGAAGUAUAUAGUGAGAGCAGAGGUUUUCAUUUUCGUCAUGAUUUACUCUAAUGUUUCUAAUGUUCACCUGUUAACUGCUGUAGAUUUGGGCUUUAUCUAUUUCUACAUAAUUUAUUUUUGUCUUUGUUGCUGCUUCUUGAUAAUUUUCAAUAAUUGAAACUUUUGUUACAAAUAUAUGCUUGCUAGUCAAUUGUAUGUAGAAAUCUCUAACAAAACUUUAACUUUUACCUUUGAAAUUUAGUUACGAAUUUAAAGAAUUUGACUAGAACUUCAGUCGGUGGAUUCUUGACAUUUUUAUGUAAAUCAUAUAGUAUUCAGGAGUUACCCUGUAAAAUGCCCACAAAUCUUAAAUUAAUUAGAAGUCAAGUAAUAAGCUUAAGGCCUCUGAGACUGUGUCUGCAUUCUAGAUUUCAAUACAUUCUAUAUCAUAAUGUUGUUAAACUGCUUUUUAGCAAGUGCUUGAGUUUUUGGUAUCUACAUAUAAGAUUAUCUAAGAUAUCAAUUUAUUCAUGAGAGCAGGUUGAUGACAAGUACCGAUACAUGUGUGAAAAAAAAAAAGAUAACAUGGUCCAUGGAGUUGGUUCUUUGCAAUCUCUCUUUUAUAAGCCGGAGAUUCCUUGCAGUCCAUCCUUUGCUGAUGCAGAAAAUCAGAAGUUGCACGAAGAACUAAAUGUGAUGAAGGAUAAGAUGAAAGCAAUGGAGAAUCAAAUAGCUAUGGUUGUGUUAGUACUAGCUAGUUUUCAAGCCUCGUUAGUAAUUGAUGGCUCCUUUUAGAUAUAAUACUUGAACACUAUUGUAUCGGGUAACUCUUAUCUCAUUUUGAAGAUCGUAAAGAAACGUUUAUUAUGUAAAAAGAGUACACUUUUGUUAUUUCUUUAUUUGCAUUUUUAUAGACAUAAAAAUGAACAAUUCUAGAAAAUGAAAAAUUUGCACUGUAUUUGAGCAUGCAUACCAACAGAAUAUGUUUAUAUCUACUAACGGAAAUUUAACAACCGAAAGAGUCUUUUAGUUCUUUGUUGUUAAAUUUAACAAUUUUGACUAUACUUAACAUCAGAUUUUCCGUUGGGAAUAUGUUGCUAGAAUUGCCAACCGAAUAUUCUGUUGGCGGGAUGGUGUUUCUUUUGUUAUUUUGCAAAAUAGAGGUCUGUUACGAGAUUGUUACUACUCGGUUGCUAACUUAGCAACGGACACCUAAUUCGGUUGGCGAGGUGCUUCCCAACGACGUUUACUCUAACGGUCCAGUUCAGUGGGCAUUCCGUUAGGAAUCUCUUUUACCAACGGAUUUUCUUGAUUUGCCAACAUAAUAUUUCGUUGGGAAUAAUGAAAUUUCUUGUAGUGUUCUAACUUGAAAGUUAUGCAAAUUACGUUAAUAAUAUCAUCAAUUUUGAGUCUCUUGGUCUUCGGUCUUCUAUUGCAGCAUAUCAUACACUUCUCAAGUGAUUGAAAAUGAACUCUCUCCAAAAGGCAAGGGGUCUGUCGAAGUAGACCUGGAAUUGAUUUUACUUGAAGAAACAAUAAUAGUUCACCUUUUAAAGUUUUGGUCUUUGUCUUUUGUCUCUCAAAGUCUUGAUCUUUGUCGUUUACAUCUCAUACAAUUUGCUAUCGUAUUGAACACUUCACACAAUUUCAUACUAUCGUAUUGAACACUUCACACUUCACACAAUUCCAUAAUAUUGAAGAUUUUUGGCUUGAAAUAUUCUAGAGAAUAAGAUUGUACAUAAAAUCCAACAAUUUAUUUCCUUUUCUACAAUAUUACAACUCAUAUAUUUGUUGCCAAUGACUCAUUCAAUUCGCAUCAAUUACUAUCAUCUUCACUUUAUCAAAGAGUCUUGCUCUUUGUCCUCUACAUGCUUUUAUCACGGUCCCCAUGUUAGUGUGAUUUGAAAAUACUUGUGUUACAGUCCACAUAUUGAUAAAUAGACAAAUUAUAAUAUUUAGUUCAUUAAUGAAUAGAUAAGACGUUCAUGUGUAUGUAUUUGAAAAAUAAAAUAUUAUGAAGCUAAAUGAAUAAACACUUCUGAAGAGUAAAACGCGUUUCUGGUCCAUUUUGUAGCUUGAAGAAAUGAAGCAGAAGUCAAGAUUUUCUUGAAGAAACGAAAUUUUAUAAAAGUUAAAAACAAUUCGAUAAUUAUUGUCUUUUCAAAAAACGGGGCACGCAACACUCUUUUAUAUCAUCUUUCAAUUCUUAGAGUCUUCCUUCUGCUACUCCAAAAGUGGUUCUAUUAUAGGUCACAUAUUAAUAGAUCGAUACAAAUUUAUUAAAAAGAUCCUUAUUUUCAACGAUCAAUAUCAGUUUGACUAUAAAUUUAUCUGAAAUGACCCUUGUUAAUGGACUCUAGCUUAUAGGGUCAAACUUGGCUAUACAUGCCUCGGAGAAAAUUCAUCAGUUCGUAGAAGAGACCUUUCUGCAUCAACUCUAUGAAAAAUGCAGCACUUAUCAUCUAAAUAAAAAUUAGUAAGACUAUCUUAGAUUCUCUGAAGUGUUUAUAUUGCAGCCGCUUGUAUUGAAUACACACAUAAAUAACCACACAUAAUCAGGAAGGUUCGAAAUUUUUUGGUUUAACCAUAUCACCAACAUGAAGAAAAGACUUUCAAGCGUCAUAAUAGCUAAGAGCAUCUCCAACGGCAUUGGCUAUAAUCGUUGGCUAAAUUAGACAUGUAAGACAUUAUGUAAAAUUUGCUGAACCUGUAAGACAUUUUGCUUCAAUGGUAUUGGCUAUAUUAAUUAGUUGGCUAUAAUUUAAAAAUAGUAUGUUAUUAAUAUUUUAAAUUGUUAAAAUAGAAUAUAUCAGUUCAAUAUGGUAAUAAAUGAUUUACAAUCUUCCUACAGAUUUUCUUACAAACCUGUAGAGGUUCAACAAAUUUAGUCAUCCAUAGGAGGUUGGCUAAAUUUAUAGACAACAGCUGAGCAUGGUUGGAGGUGAGUUUUUGGAGCUGUUACCUAAAUUUUUUUAUUUUAAGUAUGUUAACUCACAUUUUAGCCAAGGGUUUUAGAUGGUUGGAGAUGCUUUGAGAGUUUUUUAUAUUCAGGAUAGCCCCGGUCUAGAUUAUUAUAAAAAACUUGUUUAUAUGGAGACAUAAUAAAGGUCCCAGAAUUUUUUACUCUUCAAGAUUUCCGUUUCUAGCCAAAUUUUUUGACCAUAAAUAAUAUAUUGGUUUUACCUGAAAACAAAAUUUAAAGAAAAUUCAAACUUUUUUAUUAGAGUACUUCUUUUCUUUUAUUAUUACUUCUUUUCUUUUAUUUUGAAAUUGCAAAACAGCUCAAAGUAGUUCUAAAAGAAUCAUUCUCCCCGCUAGGAUCAGUUACAAUUAAGAUUGACAAGAUGUUUUAGCUGCGAGUUCUUCAAAUUAUUGCUCGUAAGGUCCAUGACAGCUUAGAUAGUCACCAAAGCUUUGGCCUGUGGAUUAAGUUGAUGAAAUCUAGUGCAUUAAAAUCAAUGACAGCACUAUUUUAUGGGAUUGAUGCUCGCUCUUAAUAUUAUGCGUUUUUCUAAUGUGUGUGCCCAAAGACACACAAUAAACACUAAAUUUGAUAAAAAAAAUCGUAAUAUUAGUCAUUCCGCUCAUAAAUUUCAACCAGAGAAGAAAGAGCAUCGUGACUGUCAUUGUAUCCUUAAAAUUUGUUCGAUUAGGUUUUUUACAUAGUUUGCGCGUGGUCAUCAGGGUAGGCCUUCAUUAUAUUAAGCCAAUCUAGCUAGUAAUUCCAUAUUAAACAAGUUUAAAAUUUUCAAAUUUUGAUCUUAAUAAAUUUGUAAAAAUAGUAAACUUUUUCUUAUUUAUGAUAUUCACAAAUCUCUUACUUUUUUAUUACUGUAUUCAACUAAAUAUUUUUUAUAAACACUCAUAAAUGCAUCACAUCAGUUAUGAAAUUUAAAACAAAUAGUUUAUAGCCCGUGUAAGGCACGGGAGUUUUUUAAUUAUUUAUAAAUUUCUUAAAUAUAUUUUAAAUGGUGUGAAAAAAUUUAAUUUAUAAAUAAUAAAUUAAAAUUUUCAAUAAAAUAAAAUUCGAAAUUAUAAUUUGUUUGUAAGUUAGAACUGUGGUAAAUACAUCAUCAAGCCCAUUAAUGGUUUCAAAUAAACUAUUGUAAUGAAGCCAUUCUUUUUCUCGUAUGUACCGUGGCAAAGAAUUAAAUUCUGUUUAUCAAAUUUUAAUAUAUUUUGAGUGGAAUACGUUAUUGCCAACUCUUAUUAGAUUAUAUUUAUAAAUGUAUUUUAUAUUAGAAUUAUUAUAGUGUGAUUUAAAUAGUCCGCAAGGGUUAGUUUAGCUGGUUAAAAAGAGGACAUGUAUCCUCUUGGUCACAGGUUCGACUCUCAAAGGGUGGAUUAACGCUAUUGCGUGAUCCACUCCCAAAGGGUGGAUUAACCCUCCAAAGGGUAGCUGUUGCGGGUUCCUAGAUUACAAAAAAAUAAAAAAAUAUAUAAUGUGAUUUAAAUAUUUUUCAAAAAAUUUAUAUGGUUCCAAAUUAAAAUUGAUAAACAUAAUUUGUUGUGAUUUAAAUAUUUUUCAAAAAAUUUAUAUGGUUUCAAAUUAAAAUUGAUAAACAUAAUUUGUUUUUGAAUUAAGAAAAGGAAUCAUAAACAUGCAAUAAGAAGGUAGAAUCUAUUUUGGAUUAAGAAAAAGUUUUUGUAUUUGCUAAUCACAUAAAUCCGGCUUAUUAAUUUUAAAAUAUAUUAUAAAAAAAUUGUGACGGUGAGAUUUAUAUGAUUAAAAAAUUUUUGUAUUUGCUAAUCACAUAAAUCCGGCUUAUUAAUUUUAAAAUAUAUUAUAAAAAAAUUGUGACGGUGAGAUUUAUAUGAUUCUACGAAUAAAACUGGUAGAAAAUAUUUAUUUGGGAUUAAAAAAAUCAUAUACACGUGAAAGACAUAAUUUGUUUUGGAUUCAGAAAAAAAAUUAUAAAUAUGCAAGGUGAUAUCAGUUGCCUUGUAGAACAGAAGUUGAUUUUCGAAUCUAACGGUGCUUAUUUGUUCAAUAUAAGAUGCAACGGAUGAUAAACUUUUGGACCAGAGAACCAUGCGACCAAAUUAUCUCCCUUACGCUUAUUAUAUAUAAGUAUAUAAUAUGUCCAAUUUCUUUGAGAAAGAUGGUUGUAUAAUUUUUAGUUUAAAAUUUUAAUUAUUUUUAUUUUUAAUAUAAUUUACAACUAAAAAGUUUUAUUAUAUUUUGACUGCUUUGUAAUACAAUUAAAUAUAUCUUAAAUACACUUUUUCCUAUAUAUAUACGCUAACCUCGAGAGAUGUUGAAGAUCGUCCGAAACAAAAUUUGAAAGGGAAAAUGAAAAUGAGGAAUUGCAACCUCUGUUUUUUCACCAUCAGUAUGAUGCUCAUCUUCUUGAAGUUGCAGCACCACCUGGUGGCUUCUUCAUUAAGCCCCCACUUGCAGAAACUUGCCUUGUUUCACCUUAAGCAAAGCUUCACAAUCACUCCUCCUCGCUUCCCUUGCUCCUAUUAUUCCUACGAAGAUAAUGAGGGGUAUGAAAUUCCUUCUCGGCCAAAGACAAUGAGUUGGAGCAUGAGUACUGAUCACUGCACAUGGGAUGGAGUUAGCUGCGACAACAAGACAGGGGAUGUUAUCGGACUGGAUUUAAGUUGCAGUCAGCUGGAAGGAGCCAUUCUUCCUAACAGCACUCUCUUCCAACUCUCUCAUCUCCGCUUCCUCAAUCUUUCUCAUAACAACUUUUCCCUCUCCAGUCAGUUCCCUCCGGAAUUUGGUUUCUUUGCAAAAGGUCUGACGCAUCUCAACCUCUCUAAUAGUUAUUUAUCAGGGAGAGUUCCCUCUGGAAUCUCUCAUUUGUAUAAACUAGUCUCACUUGAUCUCAGUGACAAUGAUGGGACUAAACUUGAAGAAGAAGUAUUUAAAUCAAUGUUGCAGAAUUUAACGCAUCUCGGAGUGCUUAAUCUUAAUAACGUUAAUAUCUCCUCUAUUUUUCCCGUGAAUAUCUCUACUUCUUUAAGAGUUCUUCAAUUGUUGUAUACUGGUAUACACGGAGUAGUACCCCAAGAGGUUUUCCACCUUCCCAACUUGGAAUUACUUGAUUUAUUAUAUAAUUACGACCUGAGAGCUACAUUACCCAAAGUUAAGUGGGGAAGUAAAGCUACCCUCCAACACCUUCAUCUUUCAGAAAUCAACAUAGAUGGAGGUAUACCUGACUCAAUAGACUUUUUAAAGGACUCAUUAGUCAGUUUGUAUCUGGGCGGCUGUAAUUUGUCUGGGCCUAUACCAAGAUCCAUUGGGCACCUCGUUCAACUUACUCAGUUGGGCCUCCAUGAUAAUAAUCUCAAUGGCCCAAUUUUAACUUUUUUUACCAACCUUACAGACUUAAGAUAUAUCUACCUUGAAGGUAACAAUUUUACGGGUCCGUUUCCCUCUUUUCUUGCCCACUCCAGUAAACUAGUUGUGUUGCAUAUUGAGAGUAAUAGCUUUACUGGAUCCCUACCUCGUUCGUUGUUUCACCAUCCAUCCUUAGAGUACUUGUUUCUGGAACUUAAUGCAUUCACGGGUCCACUACAUGAAUUUGAUUCUUCUCGGUCCCGGCUGCAAUAUUUUUCUUGUUCCAGCAAUUUACUCAAUGGAUCCAUUCCACAUUCAUUUUCUCAACUUGUCAAUCGCACUGACCUAGAUUUUUCUUCAAACAAUUUCACCGGGGUUUUGGAUUUGGAAAUGUUUUCAGGUCUCGAAUUUCUAGAACGUCUUGAUCUUUCUGAUAACAGUCUUUCAGUGACAAGUACAAUCAGUGGCACCCUCCCUCCUACGCUUAUAUACUUGGGCUUGUCUUCUUGCAACAUGAAAGAGUUUCCUCGCUUUUGAACAGAUGCAAACAUCUUCCUGGAUUCUAUAGACCUGUCAAACAAUAAAAUUGACGGGGAAAUUCCACACUGGAUUGGGUCGCUGGGGGUGUCCUAUCUGAAUCUUUCUCACAACAAACUAAUAGGCGGUCUUGAGCAACUGCCUUGGGGUUAUAUUAAUUAUCUUGAUCUCCAAGACAAUAAGCUGAAUGGAUCGUUGCCCACCUUGAUGUGUAAUUCCAGCUCUCUUGAGAUUCUAAAUCUCUCUCACAACAAUUUGAGUGGUGUACUCCCCAUUUGUCAUACAAAUUUGACUCAGCUUUCGGUGUUGGAUCUGCGGAGGAAUAAAAUUCAAGGAAACAUUCCAGCAACCUUGUCAAAUUUCCAUAAUCUGGAAACCAUUAAUAUGAAUGGAAACCAAUUACAAGGAAGCAUUCCUUCUUCAUUUGCUGAAUUUGAUUCUUUAGCCGUUCUUGAUCUUGGAAAUAAUCAGAUAAAUGAUACAUUCCCCCGGUGUUUGGAAGCUCUUCCAAAUCUCCAAGUUCUUGUUCUCAAAUCUAACAAGUUUUGUGGUCUUAUAAACACGAGUUCUAAGAUUGUACACCCAUUUCCUAGCUUGAGAAUCAUUGAUCUGUCGGACAAUGAGUUUUCAGGUCCACUGCCAGCAAAAUACUUCAGAAACUUCAAGGCUAUAAUGAAUAGUGAUGUAAGCAAAAUAGAUCGUAGUUAUAUGAAUCAUAGUUUCUAUUACAGUGAUUCCACGGCUCUGGUGAUUAAAGGAGUAGUCAUAGAGUUGGUAAAGAUAUUAACUAUUUUUACAACCAUGGAUGUGUCAAGGAACCAGUUUGAAGGGGAGAUUGUAGAAUCAAUUGGAAAUCUGGUGUCACUUAGAUAUCUCAAUUUAUCACAUAAUCAUCUCAGAGGCCACAUACCACGGUCGAUUGGAAAAUUGACUGUGCUGGAGUCACUAGACCUCUCAUCCAAUGAACUUGAAGGAGAAAUUCCUCCGCAACUCACUGGUUUAUAUUCACUUGCAGUUCUAAAUCUUUCUUGCAACCAACUUAGAGGCCGUAUACCAGAAGGGUCACAAUUCAAUACGUUUGAAAUCUACAGCUACGCCGGGAACUUUGAAUUGUGUGGAAAACCCUUGUCAAAAAAGUGUGAAAAUUAUGUGAGGGUACACAAAGAAGACGAAGAAGAUGAGGAUGAAUAUUACUUUUUCAGUGGUUUUACAUGGGAAGCGGUGGUGAUUGGAUAUGGGUUUGGAGUGGUGCCUGCAUUUAUCGCCGGGUACUUGAUGUUGCUGGCACGGAAACCAAAAUGGUUUGCUGGAAUCAUUGGCAGGGAAUUGGGCCUCAAGAUCAGGAGGAUGGAGAUUAGAAUGCGAUAACUACAGGUUUGGUGUAAUCUGUAUCCCAUUCCCAGGUCUUGAAAAUUCUGUAAUAAUAUAGUAAUAUCUGCUCUCAUAUAAUUCUAUAUUUGCAGAUUCAGAUGGGACAAGCAGGAUUCAGAUGCAUUGCAUUGGAUUCAGAUGGGACAAGCAGGAUACAAGUUAUGUAGUAUUGUUUUGUUCCAGCUCUUAUCUGAUCUGCAAUCAAGUUAAUGAACCACUACCUCAGUUGUUAAGCAUCUUUCAGCAUUUUAAUUUUACAACUCACAAUAAAAGAUUACAUGUGUAUUAAUCUGAUCAUCAUUGGUUUAGAUCAAUAUAGAAGUUCGGCUUUGUUUAUUUCUAUCCCGGGCUCCUCAUUUUUAGAACAUAUUUGUUGAUACUUUUUAUGGAACGGUUAAGAAUAUUCCAUAGAUUUUUAUAUUCAGUGCUAGAUGAUUUUAUGUCCUGUUUUCAUUCCAAUUUCCGUUCAUGAACUAAUUAAAAAUCUGAAAGUGGGUCAUAUCUGGCAGUGAUGCCCACCUUUCUGGACCUGAAUUUCAUGACCACACAAACUCCAAUUCUGCCCAAAAAUUGCAGCUGUUUCGUAAAAUAUUUUUACGUGCUCUUUUGUUUGGACUUGUUUGCUGGACCAUGCAUAUGUUUUGAUACAAACAUCUUCGUGUAUGUUAACACUCUUGUGUCAGUUUCUGGACUCAUUGUUAGUAGCCCAUUCUUUACGGCAGACAUUGAAUUGGAUUUACUUGAAGAAAUGAAGGUUUAAGAAAGUUGAGAACAAUUUGUUGAUAAUUUCCUUCCCUAGAAACUGCACUCCAGCAUCAAAGUACCUUUCAAAGACUCCAGACAUCAUCUCUUGAUUAUCGAAGACUUGGUCUUGCAUAUACUGAUAUACAGUGAAUAUAGAUUUCUUUCAUUUCCUUGAAAUUGCAUUUUUGGAAGUAGCUCUCCAGACUCAUUCCCGUCACUUCUUAAAGUCUUAUUCCUCCUCAAUACUACAUACACGUAAUAUCACACCACUUUGCUCAUGCUCAGAUGGGUUUUUCUUACAAACCACAUAUGUUCACUUCUCAGAGUCUUAGUCCUCGUCAAUGUAUAGAGAUAAUAUCUCACCAUUUGCUAGUGCUACAAAUGGGCUUCUCCUACAACCACACAUAAUCGGAGAAAAGUCUGUCAAGUGUCAAGUGGACUUGAAAGACCCUUGUGCAUGGAUUAUUGUAUGUCAUGAAUGCCUUCUGAUAUCCCUGAAAGUGCAAGCAAGUUAUAAAAGUAGCUGGGCAGACUCUUUCUCAUCAAUACAUUCACAUUUAAAGCGGGCGUUGAUAUGCCUCCCUAAUUUUCUAAUGCCCUAGACGGAAUUCUAUUACAAUCCACAUAUGAUGGGUAGCGAUCAUCAAUUCAAAGAAGAGACUAUCAGCAGCUUGCAGGAAAUGUCCCCUCUGCAUGGAUUAUCGAAGAAAGGAACUUAUACCUAUAAAGAUGUAGAAAACCAAUGGUAAGCAUAACUGCAUAUAAGAUACAAAACUAAAUUUAAUACAAGACUCGUUCUGAGCAUUGGAAAAUAUAAUUCAUCCUGGUCUUCGUCUUCUACUUCUCCAAAUAUGCUUUUAUUGCAGCCAAUGUAUUAGUGAAAAGAAUUAAAUUUAAAUUAAUUGUAGACCGCAAAUAUAAGAUUAGGAGAGUUUCUACAACCCACAAAUUAGUAGACAGACUAAUAUGGUUAGUUGAGACCAUCAAUCUGGAGAAACUGUUUCUACAAUGACCCAUAUGUAUGAAUUAUUGAAGAAAGAAACUUAUACCUACAAUGUAAAGGAAAUGGUCACGAGUAUAUUGCAUUUUUAAUCCAAAUUGUAUAUGAUUCUCUCUGUGCUACUGAUAGUUAAUAAUAAAUCUACAACGGAACUUGCAGUUAAUCAAGGUAUUUAAGUCUACCUUUCUACAUUGUUGAAUAGUUUGAAUUAAAUAAUUGUAAUAAAUUUUUUGCUGGAUGCUGUGUGAGUUUACCAGAGCUUAUCACGGUGAGAAGUUCACUAAAGCUCUUGGAAUUAGUAAAUAAAAACUCAGGGCAGUGAAUUAGAAGUCUGAGUACAAGGCAAUGAGCAGGAAACAACAUAGGGAGUUUACAACUAGAAGUAUCUAUUCUCCCCCAGUCUUUUUGUGAACAUCAAGAGGCCAUUCAUAUUGCUCACAAACCAGUUAAAAGUGGCAGGACUACACAUAAUGAAUCACACAGUCACUUUAUGUGAGAAAAGAAAAUUGUCAGGACUGCAAUGCAUUUCUAGCCCAUUUUGUACAGCAGCUCAAACGUUUAAAAAACUUCAUUAAUUAUUUUCUUUUAUUGAAACCACACUCAUCCAUCAAAGUAGCUCUCAAAGUCUAAUUUCCAUCACCUUCUGAUUCUCAAAGUCUUCUUCUUCGUCUUAUAUUGCACGCCACAUAUUAGUAGACAUACUACAUCAACUCUGUAGAAAGAAACAAUCUAUAGUAGUUGAUGUACAAUGUUAUUAUGUAAAUGUAUAAUAUCAAAAUUAGGAAUAGAAAUCACGCCCUAAUAAUUAACCCUCUGCAGGGGUUAUUAAAGAAAGCAGCUUAUAACUUUAGUUGCUGAACAUUUGUGUGGGCCAAAUUCAAUUUUACACAUCAUUACUAGAUUUACACAUGGUAUUAGACAUCAGUACUAGUAUAAGAUGUUAAUCAAGUUUUGGAAUUUCUUUUAUUUCAGAAAACAAGUUUUUAACUCUCUUUUUUUUUUGUGGUAUUAAUUAUUUAUAUCACGCAUUUGAGCUUUAAAAUUAGCUCUAAAUAAAAGUUGAUUUUCGCUCAAAGAAACAAUGAUGUAUAAGAAGAUUUUCAGAACUGAAUUAUUUCUUUCCAUUUUUACAGUUCCAUUCAAGAACCGAAAGCAGCUCACAAAGACUCACUACAUCAUCUUUCAAUUCUCAUAGUGUUGGUCUUUGUCUUCUGCUGCUCAAAAAUUCUAUUACAGCCCACAUAUCAGUAUCAUAUACCUAAUUAUAAAUAGUAUUUAACACUUAACACCAUUAAAGAUUUGUCUCAGAGACUUACUUCCAUCACCUUAUGGUUCUCAAACUCUUCGUCUUCUAAUGCUCCAAAAGUUCUAUUAGUGCAGGCCACAUAUUGGUAAACAGACUACAAUUCAUCCAAAAUGACCCUCUUAUUGGACACUUUGAACACCUCUGUCUGUAUAUGCAUUGGAGAAGAAUUAUCAGCUCGUUAAAAUAACCUCUUCGCAUCAACUCUAUGGAAAGAAGCAAUUCAUACCUAAAGUACAAUGUUUGGAUAAAAUUAGGGAUAGCAACCGCACGCUAAUUUUUUAGUUGAAGCAGGCUACCUUAGUGUAAUUAACUGAACAUCCCCGUAAUUUCUUGACAGGCCACAAUUAAGGAAGUUUACAGAAUUACAUUCCAGAAGUAGCUCCCUGAGACAGAUUCGCAUCAUCUUUCAAUCUUCAAAGUUCUUUAUACUUAUAUUAUAUUUCAUGUUUUAUUGUAAUGAACAUAGCAGUUUCCUGUUCAGUAAUAUUCCAGGCUCAGGUUCUUCAUUCCAAGUCUCUGUUACAUGUUUGCUACUAAAACGUAUUAAACAGUUAUUAGUUUAUGACUGUAUUCCAUCUUGAAAGGAGAUCUCAAAGACUCAUUCCCAUAAUCUUCAGAAUCUCAAGUCUUGAUGAACUUGGCCUUCAUCAUAUUUGUACUCUUGUAAUUCCAUAUUAAUCAAGUUUAAAUAUUAAAAUUUUUAAUUUUAGUAAAUUUGUAAAAAUAGUAAAAUUUGUCUUAUUUAUAAUAUUUAUAAAUCUCUUACUUUCCUGUUACUGUAUUCAACUUAAUAAUUUUUACAAACACUGUGCAUCACAUAAGUUAUGUAAAUUUAGAACAAAUUAUGUCCAAUUUAUUUAAGAGAGAUUGUUAUAUUGUUUUUACUUUAAAAUUAAUGGUAUCUUUUAUUUUUAAUAUAAUUUACAGCUAAAAAUAUUUGAUAUAUUUUCACACUGCUUCUUAUUUUUGUAAUAUGACUAAACAUAUCUUAAAUACACUUUUUUCCUAUAUAUAUGCUAGCCUCUCGAGAUGUUGAAUAGAUCAUCCCAAACAAAAAAAUUUAAGGGAAAUAGAAAAUGAGGAAUUCCAUCCUCUGUUUUUCCACCAUCAGUUUGUUGCUCAUCUUCCUGCAGUUGCAGCACAACCUAGUGGCUUCUUCAUUAAGUCCCCACUUGCAGAAACUUGCCUUGUUCCACUUUAACCAAACCUUAACAAUCAGUACUACUAGCUGGGAUUGCGAGUACUAUUCCUACGAUGGAUAUUACGAAAUUCCUUCACGGGCAAAGACAAAGAAUUGGAGCAUGAGUUCCGAUCACUGCACAUGGGAGGGAGUUAGCUGCGACGACAAGACAGGGGACGUUAUCGGACUGGAUUUAAGUUGCAGUCAGCUGGAAGGAGCCAUUCUUUCUAACAGCACCCUCUUCCAGCUCUCUCAACUCCGCUUCCUCAAUCUUUCUCACAACGGCUUUUACAAUCAGUUCCCUCAGGAAUUUGGUUUCUUUGCAAAAGGUUUGACGCAUCUCAAUCUCUCUCGUACUGGAUUAUCAGGGAGAGUUCCCUCUGGAAUCUCUCAUUUGUAUAAACUGGUCUCACUUGAUCUCGGUCGCAACUAUAGGGCUUGGGCUAAACUUGAAGAAGAAGUGUUUAAAUCACUGUUGCAGAAUUUAACUCAUCUUGAAGUGCUUAAUCUUGAAGGGGUUAGCAUCUCCUCUGUUUUGCCCCUGAAUAUCUCUACUUCUUUAAGAUUUCUUGCUCUUGCGGGAACUGAAAUACACGGAGUAGUACCUCAAGAGGUUUUCCACCUUCCCAACUUGGAAUUUCUUCGUUUAUCAUAUAAUGACCACCUGAGAGUAACAUUACCCAAAGUUAAGUGGGGAAGUAGUGCUACUCUCCAACACCUUCAACUUUCAGGCGUCAACAUAGAUGGAGGUAUGCCUGACUCAAUAGGCUUUUUGGAGUCAUUAGUCAGUUUACAUCUGAUCCAGUGUAAUUUGUCUGGGCCGAUACCAAAAUUCAUUGGGCAACUCGUUCAACUUACUCACUUGGGCCUGGCUGCUAAUAAUCUCAGUGGCCCAAUUCUAACUUUUUUAACACGCCUUGCAGACUUCAGAUCUAUCUUCCCUUGAGCAUAACAAUUUUACUGGUCCGUUUCCCUCUUUUCUUGCCCACUCCAGUAAACUAGUUGAGUUGUAUCUUCAUAAUAAUAGCUUUACUGGAUCCCUACCUCGUUCGUUGUUUCACCAUCCAUCCUUAGAGAUCUUGAAUCUGGCAUAUAAUGCAUUCACGGGUCCACUACAUGAAUUUCAUUCUUCUUUGUCACGAUUGCGAUCUUUUUAUUGUUCCAGCAAUUUACUCAAUGGAUCCAUUCCACAUUCAUUUUCUCAACUUGUGAAUCUCACUGAACUAGAUCUUUCAUCAAACAAUUUCACCGGGGUUUUGGAUUUGGAAAUGUUUUCAGGCCUCAAAUCUCUAGGAAUUCUUCAUCUUUCUUAUAAUAGUCUUUCAGUGAGAACUACAACUAUGGCCACUCUCCCUCCUACGCUUAACGACUUGGCCUUGUCAUCUUGCAACAUGAAAGAGUUUCCUCACUUUUCAAGAGAUGCAAACAUCUUCCUCGAUUUUGUAGACCUAUCAAACAACAAAAUUGAAGGGGAAAUUCCACACUGGAUUGGGUCGGUGGGGAGGUACCCUUUCUAUCCAAUCCAUUAUCUGAAUCUUUCUCACAACGGACUAAUAUGCGGUCUUGAGCAACUGCCUUGGAGUCAUGUUGAAUUUCUUGAUCUCCAAUACAAUAAGCUGAAUGGAUCAUUGCCCACCUUGAUGUGUAAUUCCAGCUCUCUCCGGGUUCUAAAUCUCUCUCACAACAAGUUGAGUGGUGUACUCCCCAUUUGCCAUACAAAUUUGACUUCGCUUCGCGUGUUGGAUCUGCGGAGGAAUAAAAUUCAAGGAAACAUUCCAGCAACCUUGUCAAAUUUCCGUAACCUGGAAACUGUUAAUUUGAAUGGAAACCGAUUAGAAGGAAGCAUUCCUUCUUCUUUUGCUGGAUUUGAUUCUUUAGCCGUUCUUGAUCUUGGAAAUAAUCAGAUAAAUGAUACAUUCCCCCAGUGUUUGGAAGCUCUUCCCAAUCUCCAAGUUCUUGUUCUCAAAUCAAACAAGUUUUAUGGUCUUAUAAACACGAGUUCGAAGAUUGUACACCCAUUUCCAAGCUUGAGAAUCAUUGAUCUGUCGAAAAAUGAGUUUUCAGGUCCACUGCCAGCAAAAUACUUCAGAAACUUCAAGGCUAUGAUGGAUAGUGAUGUAAGCAAAAUAGAUCGUAGUUAUAUGAAUUAUGGUUCCUAUUACAGUGAUUCCACGACUCUGGUGAUUAAAGGAGUAGACAUGGAGUUGGUAAAGAUAUUAACUAUUUUUACAACCAUGGAUGUAUCAAGGAACCAUUUUGAAGGGGAGAUUGUAGAAUCAAUCGGAAAUCUAGUGUCACUUAGAGAUCUCAAUUUAUCUUACAAUCAUCUCACAGGCCACAUACCACGCUCGAUUGGAAAAUUGACUGUGUUGGAGUCACUAGACCUCUCAUCCAAUGAACUUGAAGGAGAAAUUCCUUCGCAACUCACUGGUUUAUAUUCACUUGCAGUUCUAAAUCUGUCUUGCAACCAACUCAGCGGUCAUAUUCCACAAGGUUCUCAGUUUAAUACAUUUGAUGCUGAUAGCUAUGGUGGUAACUUCGGGCUGUGUGGAAAUCCAUUGUCCAAAACGUGUGAACAAGAUAUUGUGGAGCAAGAAGACGAAGAAGAUGAGGAUGAAUGUCACUUUUUCUGUGGUUUUACUUGGGAAGCGGUGGUGAUUGGAUAUGGGUGUGGAGUAGUGCCUGCAUUUAUCAGUGGGUACCUGAUGUUGCUGGCACGGAAACCAAAAUGGUUUGCUGGAAUCAUUGGCAGGGAAUUGGGGCUCAAGAUCAGGAGGAUGGAAAUUAGAAUGCGAUACUAAAGGUUUGCUGUAAUCUGUAUCACAUUCCCAGGUCUUGAAUAUUCUGUAAUAAUAUAGUAAUAUCUGCUAUCAUAUAAUUCUAUAUUUGCAGAUUGGAGAGGCAUGAACAUUUUGGCAUGUAAGUUGAUGGGACAAGCAGAUUCAGAUGCACUGGAAUCAACCACUACUUCAGCUGUUUUGCAUCCUUUGUCAUUUUAAAUUUUACAUUUUAUAAUAAAAGUCAAAAAGAUACAAGUUCCAUGGACAAGUUCUGUAUUGUGUAGUUCCAGGGCUCCUUUCAAUUUCUAACCACCCUGGACAACUUCUUUACAAAACUAACCACCCUUUUUUUCACUUCACAAAACUGACCACCCUAAAUCCUUGGCGAACAUUACAUGAAAUCCCUUAUAUGUUCGCCCCUGUCAAGGGCGAACAUUACUAAAAAAAUUUAUAUGUUCGCCCCUCCCAAGGGUGAAGAUAUAAGGGCUUUAAACUUCCCAUUUACCUCGUAUCAUUUGCACAUAUAAUGAGUUUAUUUCAUUUUUAAAAAAAUGUAGAUAUAAAAAAUACUGAAAAUUCGUUUAUUUGAUUUAAAAAAAAUGUACCUAUAAUUGGUUGUUUUGUAAAUAUUGAAAUAAUAUUAUUUUAUUGAUUAAAAAUGUCAUGAGUUGAAGUGAUAAUUGAGUAAAUUUAUUUUAGUUUAAUUGGCAUAAUGAGUUGAAGUGAUAAUUGAGCAAUUUUAUUCAUAGAGAAUAUUAAAACAACGAUAAUACGACUUAAACUGAAAAGGAGAAAACAAUCACGACGAAAAUACAGACCACUUAAUUUUCCAACCAAAUAUUAGAAAAUUUUAAAAUUUCAUUGACCGCAUAGACACAAUAUUUAUUUUUAAAAUUUUAUUUUUGCAAAUAAAAAUUUAAAUAUGAAAUUUUCGUUGACAAAAGAAAAAAUUAAAAAAUAAAUUUCGGAACUUGACGGUCAAUGCACCUUAAAUUACGUGCCGAAAGUCUAACUGGCUCAUCUAAUUUGAGAAGGAGGGAGUAGUAGGCUUGCAAAAUUUCGUAUUAGCAUUAAAUAUUAAAAAUUCAUCGUAUUAAACUACUCAUAAAUACGAAUCUAACAAGAUCACUCAAGACUAUAUUUAGUCUUAUUGACAUCAUAAACAUGAAAAAAAAAAAAAACGAGGCAAUAUAUUUUAGAUAAUAUAAAUAUAAANCGAGGCAAUAUAUUUUAGAUAAUAUAAAUAUAAACAGAUAUAAGGUUUUGAGAGCAAGACACAAAAAAUAUGUUUCCCUUGGUCUCAAGUCUCAACUGCAAGACACCAUAAAAUGAUAGAAAUAGAUGUGUGGGGUAGGUAAGCCUCAGUCAGCUAGCCAACAACUAUGUUCGCCCUUACGGGGGGCGAACAUAGUGGUGUUUUUGUGUGGUGUUCGCCCUUGCCAAAGGCUCAAAUCAAUUAUUUCAGCAGCCAUGUUCGCCCCUGAUGUAUAUGAAUUAAGGUGGUUAGCUUUGUGAAUUGAAAAUUUGGGUGGUUAGUUUUGUAAAGAUUGUGUUUAAAGUGGUUAGUAAAUUGACGGAGCCUAGUUCCAGCCUCAGGCUGUUCCUUACUAAAACAUGUUUUCUGAUGCUUUAUAAUGUACAAUUUACAAUAUAUCAAAGUUUGUAAUAUACAGUACCAGAUGAUUUUAUGGCCUGAUUAUCCUUAAUCGCUUUCAUGAACUAAUGGAAAUUUGUAAAAGCGGGUUACAUUUGCAGCGAUGCCGCUAUUUUUCCUGAAUUUCCCUAGUUGUGAAGAUUGUCUAAAUCAUGUUAGAGUCGCUGCCAUCAGUGAAUGCAUUCAACGGCUUACGGAAAUUAGUAGAGAUACUAAAGUUGUUUGUUGAUAGAAUAGAAGAUGACAGAGUGUCCAUGCGUCAUUUUAAGGAUCGAGAUGUGUAGCUGUGACUUGUAUUUAUAAAAUUUCACAAGAUGCUUUACAAUGGUAGCAGAGGAGGGCUGGGGAUCCACAAGAUGUGAAUUUGUGUUAUUAGAAACGAAUUUUGUUGUAGGGGGAUUUAUUGAAUUAGUUCGAAGCACUCAAGUAGAAUUGGUUGUAGCAGAGCAAGAAGCUGAGCACGACCAUAAGAAUUUGAACUCUUGAGGCAAAUUUUAUCUCUAAUUGUAAGCCUUCCACUAGACAGCAAGGUUAGAAGAAAGAUUGAGUCGAUGUGUGGAUAUAAAAUUAGGAAUACUAUUACCUCUGACGCCCAUGACAUAUCGAUGAGGCAUGAAAGUUGGGAACAGGGGACGAUUGGCGUAUUGGAAUGGAAGUAGAAAACUUCUUCAGAGCUUGAUGCUCUCGAAGAUACAAUCUGAUGAGAAAGCAUAACGAUGAUCAUGACUCUGCCCUUACUCUAAAUCAGUAAGAUCAACCUCUCUACACAAUUCACUAAUACCACCUCUUUAUAACAUUUUCACUCCUAGGUGAUGAAUAAAGUAUCAUGAAACAUAUUUUGUAUAAUGAAUUAUAUUUUUUAUUAUAUUCCUUUUUUAAAAUAUAUUGCAUAUUACACUGCUUUUUAAUUCUAUUUGAAGCAUUUAAUUAAUUUUUAGCUGUAAUUUAACUUUCAAGGUAGCAUUAUCAGCAUGAGGAAUAGGCAGAGCUUCCAGAUGCUCUCUUCUGAUAGAUAUCAUUCAGCACUUGCUCUGAGUUUGUUGAUCAACCAGGCGACUUUCAACAUUUCACAUUUUUAAGCAUUUAAUUAAUUAAUCAUCAGUCUUGUAUUUAGCUUGAUCGAAAAUAAUUGCUCUCUUCGAUUUAUUUGCCUACUUGUCGACGUGUUUAUGUAGCGUGUCUCUACUCUGUAGCUUACACAUCAUUGAUUCAUAUUAUUUUCUCCUUAGGAACUUGAGAGACAUUUGGCAUCAAAAGAAGCUUCUCUCCCGCAAGAACCAUUUUCCCCUUAUGACAUUUUGGUGUUGGUGAGAGUGCAGCGACUUUUGAUGAACUUGGCCUGUCUGGCAGACAGGAGGCCCUGUUUCUAGAGUUAAUAUAGCAGAUAUAGUUAUUGUAAAAUUGUAAUAGGAUCUCGAAGAGUUUACCCAGAUGGACCAACUUUGUUUGUUAGUUGGAUGUAAAAGUUGUUUAGAGAUGGGUAUUUUGUCGAAGUUUGUAUCUAUUGGGUAUUUCGUCUUUUAGUCAGACUAUGGCUCAUACAGUUUCAUACAGUUUGAAGUUGAUAUCAAAUCUUAGAUUAAAUUACUGAACAUUGUUUCUUGAAUUCGAUAUCGAAUUUUAACCGAAAAUAUGUUCAGUUCUAAUUUAAAAGUUAUGCAAAUUACAUUAAUAAUAUUAUGUAAUUCUUGAAUAUUCUGUAAUAACAUAGUACUAUUUGUCUCUCAUUUAAUUCUAUAUUUGCACCUGUGGACGUUAACAGAUUGGAGAGGCAUGAACAUCUUGGCAUGUAAGUUGAUGGGACAAGCAGGGUUCAGAUUCAUUGGAAUCAACCACUACUUCAUCUGUUUUGUCAUUUUAAAUUUUACAUUUUACAAUAAAAGUCAAAAGAUACAAGUUCUGUUUUGUUUAGUUCCUUCCUUAGGCUCUUCAUUACUAAAACUUGUUUGCUGAUUCUUUAUAAUGUACAAUUUACAAUACAUCAAACUUUUUAAUAUAGACUACUAGAUGAUUUUGUGGACUUUUUAUCCUUAAUUGCUUUCAUGAACUAACGAAAAUUUUAGAAGUGGGUCACAUCUGCAGUGAUGCCGCCAUUCUCACUAAAUUUCACUAGUGAGGAAGUUUGUCUAAAUCAUGUUAGAGUCGCUGCUAUCAGUGAACGCAUUCAACAGCUUAUCUCAAACUGGUAAGGGAUACUAAAUUUGUUGAUGACAGAGUGUUCUUGCGUCAGUUUAAGGAUCGAGAAUAUGUAGCAGUUGAAUGUAUGUAUGUUGGCGUUUUACAUUAUGUGAGAUUAUUGUUUAAUUACAGGAUCUUCAUCUCUAAAACAUGUUUUCUGCUAUAUCUUAUCUUAUAAUCUUACAAAAUAUCAACCUCGUCCAUCUUCUAUUUCGAUUGCUUUGCUUCAAAACGCCUGUUCAAAGGUAAAAUGAUAUAUAUUUCAUUUCAUCUAUAUUUUUCUUUUACAAUUUUUAGUGAUGUCAUGUUUAUCAUGUUACAUUCUGAUCCUAACAUCAUUUCAUUGAUCAAUUUCAAACUUCUGUUCUCUUCAUUCCAGGCUCGGGCUCUCUCUCUAGUCUCUAGUGCAACAGAGGACAGAGGAAGGCUGGUGCAUUGAAAUGAAAGUAGAAAACUUCUUCAAAGCCUGGCUGACCACGGAUGUAUGAUAAAAUCAAAUAUAUAUAUAUAUAUAUAUAUAUAUAAUAAUAAUAAUAAUAAUAUUUUAUUUUGAUUUUAGAUUUUUUUUCUGUUUUGUAUUUUGUUUUUAGAAAAUAAUAUUUUUAUUCAUGUUAUUUUCUAUUUGGUUCAAAAUCCUAUUAUUAGGAUAUAUUUCUAAAAAUUAAUAAGAUCAAAUACCGUAUUAUUUUCUGGAAAUUAAUUUGUUAUAUUUAAAUUUAAAAUCUUUUAUAAAUUCAAAUAAUCAUUUAUAAUAAUUUUUUAUCAAAAUCCAUUAUUAUUAGAAUAUCUAUUACAUUUUCUAAAAGAUCUCCUGAUAUUAUGUAAGUUGAAGGUUGAAUAUUAUUUAAUAAUAUUUUUAUUUUAUUUGUAUUUUUAGUUAAACUGCAAAUUUUGCAUGUAAAAUAUGUUAGAUACAUUUUUUUAAAUUACACAUUUUUUUAUUAAAUAUAAAUAUUAUACUAAUAUUAUUUAGUUUUAUAUUGAGAAUUUGAGAGUAGAAGAUUUGCAGAUUUAUAUUAUUUCAAUUUCAAAACUGCAAUCUUGUCUUGAAGAAAGAAUAAAUGCCGGGAAAUACUUGCAAUCUAGCUCAAAAUUGAAGUAGUUCAUAAUCUGAUACAUGUAGAGUCAUGUGUAAUGCAUUUAUGCCUUGGUACUUCUAGAGUUCUAGACCGACAGAGCAAAGAUUAUGUACAUGGAGCACUAAUAUAUAUGCUUUUAGCUUAACAGUAGUCUAUAUUCAUUUUAAUAUGCAAACCUACUUUACAUAUCAUGUUUAAAAAAUAUUUUGAUUUUUUUUAACAUUUAUAUUUAUUCAAAAAAAAAAUUUAAAAAUAAUGUGCAAAAGCAUGAGGUGAUCUCUUUCUCAUCACAUUUUACUCAAUUCUUUAUAUGUUUUCUGAAGUCUCUUGCCAACAUACAUGCAUGAACGUAGUUAUGUAGUAAUAUAAAAAUUCUUGGCCUAAAGAAACACUCACUUUCUGUCUUGUCCUCAUCACCUUUCUAGAAAACAUAGUAAAUAUAUGAGCUGUAACUUAGAAAUUUGAUUUGCAACAAUACACACACAUGAUAAAUACAUUACUAACAUGUUGGUCUUUGUUUCUAUUUCAGCCCUACAAUUUUGAAAAUGGAAAAUAUUUUACACCUAACUACGAACCUGGUUCGAAGAUCAUUCUCUAUGGGGUACUGAUAAUUAACAAACAGAGUUACACUAUUGUCAUAGUAUUAGACAUCACUACUAGUAUAAGAUGGUAGUAAGUUCAUUAUCAAGGUCCAGGCACAAACACUUCUCUAGUUCUGGAAUUUCACCGAACUGAACCAUUUAUUUCCAUUUCUGCAAAUUGCAUAACAUCAACUUUCAAUUUUCAACAUCUUGAUCUUGGUUCAAAGCAGAAAUGAUAAUGAUGAGGAUGUUCAUCACCUGUUUUUUGAAAAUUGUUGUGAUGCUCAUCUUCUUGCAACACCACCUAGUUACUUCAUUAAGUCCUAACAUGCAGAAAAUUGCAUUGUUCCGCUUUAAGCAAAGCUUGACAAUUAGUAUUCCUACAAAUUGCUUCUAUGCUGACAAUUUUUACAACUUUUAUAGUAUUUCUUCACACCCAAAGACAAUGAAUUGGAGCAUGAGUUCCGAUCACUGUGCAUGGGAGGGAGUUAGCUGUGACCACAAGACGGGGAAUGUAAUCGGACUGGAUCUAAGUUGCAGUCAGCUGGAAGGAGCUAUACUUCCUAACAGCACGCUCUCCCAACUCUCUCAUCUCCAGUUCAUCAACCUUNGUUCCUCAACCUUUCACAAAACAACUUUUCUCUCACCAAUAAAUUCCCUCGAGACUUUGGUUUCUUUGCAAAAGGUUUGACGCAUCUCAACCUCUCUUAUACUGGAUUAUCAGGGAGAGUUCCCUCAGGAAUCUCUCAUUUGUAUAAACUGGUCUCACUUGAUCUCACAGAUGAAAAUAGUGCUAAACUUGAAGAUGACGUGUUUAAAUCACUAUUGCAGAAUUUAACUCAUCUCAGAGUGCUUAAUCUUCAAGGGGUUAACAUUUCCUCUGUUUUGCCCGUUAAUAUCUCUUCUUCUUUAAGAGUUCUUAACCUUGGGCAGACUUAUGGUCUACACGGAGUAGUACCCCAGGAGGUUUUCCACCUUCCCAACUUGGAAGUACUUGAUUUAGCAUAUAAUGACGACCUGAGAGCUACAUUACCCAAAGUUAAGUGGGGAAGUAGUGCUACUCUCCAACACCUCCAUCUUUCAAGUAUCAACAUAAUUGGAGGUCUACCUGAUUCAAUAGCCUUUCUGGAGUCCUUAGGCAGUCUGCAACUCUACAUGUGUAAUUUGUCUGGCCUGAUACCAAGAUCCAUCACGCACCUUGGUCAACUUACUUACUUGGGCCUCUCUAUUAAUAAUCUUCAUGACCCAAUUCCAACAUCUUUAGCAAACCUUACAAACCUAAGACUUCUCGCCCUUUCUAAUAACAAGUUCAUCGGAUCACUUCCCCAGUGGUUUUUUCACCAUCCAUCGCUGGAAAAGUUAUAUCUGGGACUUAAUGGGUUCACAGGUCAACUAUAUGAAUUUGAUCCCUCCAAGUCGCAACUUCGUACUUUUAUUUGCGAAAACAAUCAACUCAGUGGACCCAUUCCACAAUCAUUUUCUCAACUUUUGAACCUCACUGAGCUAGACUUUUCAUCAAACAAUUUCAGUGGUGUUUUGGAUUUUAAUUAUAUGUUUUCACGCCUUCGGUACCUGGAUAGUCUUGAUCUCUCCCACAACAGUCUAUCAGUGAGAAAUGCAAGUUUGGACACACUCCCUCCAAAGCUUAGAAAAUUGGGAUUGUCAUCUUGCAAGAUUAAAGACUUUGCACACUUUUCAAAAGAUGCAAAGACCUCGCUAUUUUGGGUAGACCUAUCAAACAAUGAUAUUGAUGGGGAAAUUCCACUUUGGAUGGGGUCAGUGUACUACUAUCUGAAUGUUUCCCACAACAGACUAAUAGGCGGCAUUGAGCAACUACCUUGGAAUAAUAUCAUAUAUCUUGAUCUCCAUUCUAAUAUGCUAAAUGGAUCGUUGCCCGCCUUCAUCUGUGAUUCAAGCAAUCUUGAGAUUCUAAAUCUGUCCAAUAACAAUUUGAGCGGUGUACUUCCAGAUUGUUCAAAAAAAUUGACUUCCAUUAGGGUAUUUGAUCUGCGGAUGAAUAAAAUUCAGGGCAACAUUCCAGCAACCUUGUCAAAUUUCCGUAGUCUGGAAACCAUAAAUUUGAAUGGAAAUAAUUUACAAGGAAGAAUACCUUCUUCUUUUGCGGAGUUUGAAUACCUAAAGCUUCUUGAUCUUGGAAGUAAUCAAAUCAAUGAUACAUUUCCACAAUGUUUGGAAGGUCUUCCAAAGCUUCAGGUUCUUGUUCUGAGAUCAAAUAGAUUUCAUGGUAUAAUAAACACGAGUUCUAAGGUUGAACGCCCAUUUCUCAACUUGAGAAUCAUUGAUAUUUCGUCCAAUGAGUUUUCUGGUCCAUUGCCUGCCAUUUAUUUCAAAAGCUUCAAGGCUAUGAAGAAUGGUGAAGUGAAUAAAAUGGAGCGUAGUUAUAUGGGGGACAACACUUAUUACAGUGAUUCAACAUGUCUAGUAAUUAAGGGAGUAAAGAUUAAAUUGGUAAAAAUUCUAACUAUAUUCACAACCAUUGAUGUUUCGAGGAACAAUUUUGAAGGAGAGAUUGCUGAAUCCAUCGGAAAUCUAGUGGCACUCAGAUUUCUUAAUUUGUCGCACAAUCAUCUCACAGGAGUAAUACCAUCCUCAGUCGGAAAAUUGUCUAUGUUGGAGUCACUAGACCUCUCAUUUAACCGGCUCGAAGGAGAAAUUCCGCAGCAAAUCGCAGGCAUAUAUUCACUUGGAAUGUUAAAUCUGUCUUGCAACCAACUUAGAGGUCAUAUCCCUAAAGGGUCUCAAUUCAAUACAUUUGAAAAUAACAGCUACGUUGGUAACUUUGGGCUGUGUGGACAUCCCUUGUCCAAAGAGUGUAAAAAUGAUACUAUGACCCAAGAAGAAGAAGUUGAGGAGCAAGAAAAAGAUGAAGAUGGGGAUGAUGAUUACUUUUUUAGUGGUUUCACUUGGAAAGCUGUGGUGAUUGGAUAUGGCUGUGGAGUACUGCCGGCAUUUAUUAUUGGAUACUCGAUGUUGGUUGCACGAAAACCAAAAUGGUUUGCUGGAAUUAUUGCCCGGGAACUGGGUCUCAAGAUCAGGAGGAUGGAGAUCAAAAUGCGAUAAAUAAAGAUUUGCUGUAAUCUGUAUGUCAUGUUAAUUGUCUCUCCGUAAAGUCAAUAUUUGUGAAAUGUUAUUUCCCUUUUUUAUCUAUUAAAAUAUACUGUGAUAAAUUUGCAUAUUGGAACCUGACCGUCGUACUUUUUAAGAGAGAACCUGACCUUGGCUUUCACUGCACUCUGGCAAAUGCACAUUUUUUAAAAGUAGACAGGGAAUUAAGAAGAUGAAGUUUGUUAAAAUCAGGGUUUAGUAAGGUAUAAUGAUUUUUUGCUGUACUAGAACCUAGAGAAAAAGGAGUGGCUGAAAUCUGAUGGUUCUUCAAUAGUGAAUUUGAUUUAGUUUUUCCGCACCUGUUUCUUACAUAUUUUACAUAAAGAUUACCUUGUCAACAACUUCUUUCAUGAAAUUACAAUUUGAAAUUUCCUGCCAAUUAUUUGAGUCAUUGUGUUAUGUGUAGAUAUUAAAAAUGCAAGUAUGAAUCACAAUGAUUUUGAAUUUUGAAGUAAACCUACCCCUGAAUUUGCCUCUUCUAAGCUCGAUCUGUCUGAUCUUUGAAACAAUCAUUUUAGUGAUUCAAUUCUACCUUCAAUAGGAAAUACAUCAUCUCUUCAUACAAAAUAGGAAACAGCACACUCACUCUAUAUUGGAUAGAUGGACACAUUUACAAAGAGCUUCAGCUUGGUCAUCUUUAUCUGAGUACUCUUGAGUGCUCAUAACCCGAGAUAAGCUGAUCAGGUCAGCUCUGGUGAAUAACUAAAUCCAUGACCACUUAGUUCACAAUUGUUCUUUCCUUACUACAGGGAUCAAUUUCGUGAUGUCAUGUUUAUGAUGUUACAUUCUGAUCCUAACAUCACUUUAUUGAUCAAUUUCAAACUUCUGUUCUCUUCAUUCCAGGCUCGGGCUCUUCAUCUCUAGUCUCUACUGCAUAUUUAGCAACUCUUUGUAUUCUUGAAACAAAUUAUGGAUUCUCUACUUUACUCGUUCUCGUCUCAUGAACUAAUGUAAAUUCCAAAACGGUGUCACAUUUGGCUUUUAGAUAGAUAAUAGUUUAGGACCUGGUGAUCACAAAAGAAUGCUCGUUUUUCCACAGCAAAGAACAAAGUGCACCGAGACAGUCUUUGAUUAGUUAUAGUUUUAAAAGUUUAGCGAAUUCAGUUUGACGAUGUUGGUGGCAAUGCAGUAAGGAUCUUAAAACAAAAUUACUCCCAAGUCAUGUUUGUAACACUGGUGUUCGUGGGAGAUUCGCUGGAUUAUGGACUAUUUUAUGUUUUUCAGUUUUAGAUAAUUAAUGAUGUCGAAUUCGAUAAUUGAUAGAUAAAUUCCAUCUGCUUCUUUUCUAAUCUAAUAUAGAACUCCAGAUACAAGUAUUCAGAGAUGUAUUGGGAUCAAUAACAUGUAUAAGAUGUAUUAUGAUGUCUUCUCCAGAGGAAGAAGUUCGGAAGCAGUUCUGUUCAAAUGUUCCCGGGCUCAGUUUUCAAAGUCUGUCUUCUUCUUCUACAGCUUGGAGAUGAGAGAAAAGACUAUAAUUAGAUAGCUACUAUCUAAGAUGACCCCUCUGCAUAGACUUUUGUGAAACAAACAACUCAUACCUAAUUUAUGAGAGAAUAAGUUACUUCUUUCAUUUUCUUAAAUUUGCAUUCCAGCUCCAAAAGUAGCUCUUAGAGUCUUGGUCUUCAACUGCUCCAGUUUAUGAAAGUUGAAAAGCUAGUAUCCUACAUUUUCUUCAACAAUUUUUUCAAAACGAGAACAGCGUUUCCCUUAAUUAAUUAAAGAGAGGCAGAAAAUGAUAACUUAUGAGCCGGAUUGUUCAAGUUUGAUAAGACAUUAUGAAGGUCAAGGAGUAAACAAAACACAAUUCCAGCCUAUUUUGUACGGUAGUUUUGGAAUUGGUUUUGCCCAGAGAAAACAAGGUCUAAGAAGCAUCACGGAAACAGGAAACUUCAAUUUUUGCUCUUCUUCCCUCAACUCUAGGGAAAAUACUUAAUUAGUUCUUUAAAGGGUUAAAUUUCAAAUUGGUAACUAAAGUGAAGCCCAUAUCUCACUUUAGUGACUCGACUUAUCGGGGACUCACAUGCAUCAUUAUAGUAAUGAAUUAUUAUAAAUAUGUUAAUUUUUUUAAUUGUAUAGACGGAAACCAAAACGUGGCAUACAUGACUUUGACAUAUAAGAUUAGAUUAUGACCGUUUGACUGUCCUGCCUGGCAACAAACAACACUUACAUUCUAUCUCCAUUCUUCCAAUUUCCGAUGCCAAAUCUAAUAUAUAAUUCAUGGACGAAGAAAAAAUAUCUACUUAUAUCAAGAAUAAAAAUAUAUUUUCUUAUUAAUAAAAAUAUAUACGUAUAUUAUAUAUAGUACUUUAUUUGAUUAAAUAAUUGUUUGUUUGUUUAUUUAUCUUCAAUUCUUUAAUUUUUGUAUAAAAAUUAUAUAAAUAUUUAAUAAGAAUUUAACAUCUAUAGCCAUCAAAAUUUAACUUAUGUAGUUUCUUUUACAAUUUAUAAUUUAAUAUUUGUUUGUAAAUUAAUUUUAUAUUAAAUAACGUAAACAAUUACAUAUACUAUACUUAUUCUUUAUAUCUGACCAUUUUUCUGAAAACACACAUUAAAAUUACUAUACAUAAUAUUUGAUCGGGAAAAAAUCAUAAGAUAUACUAUAUAUUUUGUUUAAUAUAAUAAUGGGUAGAUUUACAGGUACUUUAGAAAACAUGGAGGAUUAUUAUUAUUUUAUAAUAAAAUCAUAUAUAUAUUUUUUAAAAAUUUAUAUCUAAAUUUAUUUAAUAAUAUUGUAUAGAUUAUGUCUGAAUAAUUUAUACUUAAAUUUAUAUAAAAAUAAAAGUAUUUUUUAAUUAAUUGAUCUUUUUAUAUUUAUAUCUUAAAUUUUAAAGUACAGAGAAAAAAAAAAGCUUGAGACAUGUCGGAGAAAUGUCUUUGAACUAGUAUUUUAUUUAACUAAAAAUUUCAAAUCUCUCGGCCGUAUCAUCAGUGCCUUUGUUAAGUAUGUUUUAAUCUGUUUAUAUGUUUUAAUCUGUUUUUAUGUUUUAACUGAGUUGGACUCCACGUAGAUACCACCUUUUUAGAUUAGAAACAGACGUUAGUUUUAAGAUGAUUUCCGUCAGGUCAACGGUCAAACUAACGUUUCUGUAAUAAUUCAUUACUAUAGUGAUGCAUCUGAGUCCCCGAUAAAUCGAGUCAUCAAAGUGAGAUAGAGACUUCACUUUUGUGACCAAUUUGAGAUUUAACCCGUUCUUUAAAUUAGUCGACUUUUCUGAAAAACUCUGUAACUAGUAUGGAGACCCGAAUGUGUAAGCUCUAACGGUAUGGAUUUGCUUGAUCUCUUCGUGGUGAUUCCAUAUCAGAUAUGUCAGUUUUGCAAGAAAUUUAAUAGUCCGGUGCCGAAAAUACCAACAAAUAUCAUUUCACCCCACAAAAUCACAAAAUCUGGACUUGUUACUCAUCAUCAUCCAAAGCAAGCCCGGUCCAAUAAUAUAGUUCUGGCAACUCCAUUGUUGAACACUUUUGAUUAAGUUGGCAACAAGAGGCCCUGUUUUAGAGGUGAUAAUAUACUUUAGAGAGAAGACUUUUAGCAGUGACCCAUUGCAUGAAUAAUUGAAGAAAGAAACUUCAGCAUAUUUGCCUAUCUUAAUCUAUCUGUUUUUCUAGUCAUCAACAGACUCACUCAACAUAUGUAUCAGGCACAAGCUGUUGAAUUUUAUCUGUUCUUAAUUGGUAUAACCACAACUAACUGAGCAAAAUAUUUACAUAAGUUAGUUGAAACCACUGGGGUGUAAGCAGCCAAGUUAAUAAACCAGCAGUUUCUGCAGCUUUCACAACGUUGCUUCAUAUUAUUUUCCCCCUUAUUAGAUGAGCAAUAUAUUUGUGGAAUGGAUGUACCUGAAUUUGGUAUCCGAAGCUUAGUUAUAGAAAUUGUCGAUCAGCUAGUUUGCAACUUACUGAGAAUGCUUUCCAUUGGACUUGAUUUACUCGUAGAGAAGCAGCACGCAAUGUUAAGGAAGGCCUGAUACAUAAUGUAUUUAAGAUAAUGUUUUGCAUCAAUUAUUACAAAAAGCUACUACUUUAAAUUGAUGAACAUUUACUAUAGCAGUACUGUGGUAUUAAAGUGAGUACUAAUAUUAGAUGUUAGUCGAGUUCGAGGAAGUUUUGGAAUUCUUUUUAUUGAGAGUUUUUGCAAAACGUGGUUAAGAAAUUGAGAAAUUUGAGUUUUAAAAUUAGCUGUAAAAAAUAUCGGUCAAUUGUAUUAGAUAUUACAUGCAUUUGAGUUUUAAAAUUAGCUGUAAAACACUUAUAAUUUAUGUCCAAUUUGAGUAAUAAAUCUCUUAUUAGUAAUAAAUCUCUUAUUAGUACUUUCAACUAAAUAUUUCUCCUAAACACUUAUAAUUUAUGUCCAAUUUUCAUAUUAUUUCUUUUAGAAAGACUAUUGUAUUAUUUUGAAUUUUAGUAAUUAGAUUAUUUUUAUUUUUUAUGAAUUUCAAAUUUAAAAAACUUAAUAUUUUUGUCACGCUACUUCUUAUUUGUAAUACAAAUUAUUUCUAGAUAAAAUUAAUAUAUUAAUAAAUAUAGUGUAAACUACAUAUAAUACAAAAAACUUUUUUUGUAUUAUAAUAAAUAUAGUGUACUACAUAUAGUGUAGUACACUUUUUUCACAUGCAAAAAACUGCACUGUUUCGGUUUAAGCAAAGCUUGACAAUCAGGACUCCUGGCUGGAAUUGCGAGUAUUAUUCCUACGAAGAAGAUGAUGUUCAUGAUAUCCCUUCACCCCCAAAGACAAUGAAUUGGAGCAUGAAUUCUGAUUACUGCAUGUGGGAUGGAGUUAGCUGCGACGAGGAUACAGGGCACCUAACCGGAUUCAAGCUGCAGUCAUCUGGUGCAUUGGAAUGAAAUUAUAGAACUUCUUCAGAGCCUGAUGCUCUCGAGGAUGCACUAAUGAACAAGCCUAAUGAUGAUCAUGAGUCAUAACUCCGUCCUUGAAUAAAGUAUCAUGAAACAUAUUUUGUAUUACAUUUUGUAUUAUUGGAAACUUGAUUUGAAACCAAAAUAGUUUGGUGGAAUCAUUGCCAGGGAAUUGGGUCUGAAGAUAGAGGAUGGAGAUUAAAUUCCGAUAGAUAAAGAUUUGUGGUAACGUUUUAUGUCAUGUUAACUGUCACCCAUGUAGUGAAAAUAACUUGAAAUGAUGAAAUUUAUAUUAGGAAGGGACCAGAUUAGCUGCACAAUGCAUUCAGUUCGCAGCAAAGAAGAUUUUGUUGAGAGGGUUUGAAGGAAAGGACAUGAUUCACAACAUAGACUUAUAAUUCAAUAACAGAGUAAUUCUUCAGAGCCAGAGUCUCUUCCAGACGCUCUCUUCUAAUAAAUAUCCGGUGAAGUAAAAGCAUUAGUCAUCACUCUGCACUUGCUCUAAGUUUUGAUACAAACAUCUUUUUGUGAUGUUAACACUCUCGUAUCAGUUAUUGUACUCAUAGUUAUCUGGUAUGGGCGAAAAAUAUGUGCGUCGGCCAUGAAGAGUCAUGAUUUAUUGAUUCUUUUGUUAAAUGUUUAUUACUAAAUAACAACAUACUCAGACACACAUAUAUACAUGCAUUCACAAAAUUUGAACUCUCAGACUUUUUUUUUAUCGAGUAGCUGGGGAUAUCUGAUUCUUGCUUAUUUUUCAGACUUGAUGGUUUACAAAGGAUUUACAAAUUGAUUUUGUUCAAAUAUUUAACACAAGCCCAUCAUCAUUAUCCAACACAAGCCCGGUCCAGUAUAUAGUUCUGGCAACUCCAUUGUUGAACACUUUUGUUGAAGUUGGCACAGGUCAAAAAUGUAUAUUUCUUCCAAGAGAUUACAUCUCUUUUCUUCAAAAUUUAUUGUAGUUUCAAAAUGUUUCAAAAUUCAUUAUUUUUCCACUCCUUUGAAUGCCAUUCUACAAUCCACAUAUCAGUACUCAGACUUUCACCAGUGAACCAUUGCAUAGAUAAUUGAAGAAAGAAACUUCAACAUAUUUGCAUAUCUUUAUCUAUCUUUUUUUCUAGUCAUCAACAGGCACAAGCUGUUGAUUUUUAUAUGUUCUUAAUUGGUAUAAGCAUUUAAGGUGAGUGUUGAUAUUUCUCACUAAUCUUCUUCUGCUCUAAGUGACAUAUUAUUACAAUCCACAAAUUAGUAGACAGACUAAUAUGGUUAGUUGAGACCAUCAAUCUGGAGAACAGACUAAUACAUGUGUAGUAAUCUGAUCAUCAUUUAUUUGAUUACAAUAGAAAUUCGGCUUUGUUUAGUUCCAUCCUCGGGCUCUUCAUUUCUAGAACAUAUUUGCUGAUACUUUUUAUUGUACAAUUUAGAAUAUUCCAUAAAAAUUUAAAUUCGGUGCUAGAUGAUUUUAUGUCCGGCCUGUUUUCAUUCCAUUCAUGAACUAAUGGAAAUUUUGAAAUUGGGUCAUAUUAGGCAGUGAUGCCACCUUUCUGGACCUGCAUUUCAUGACCACAAACUCCUAUUGUGCCAAAAAAUUCCAGCUGUUUCGUGAGAUUUUUCUACGUGCUCUUUUGUUCGGACUUGUUUGCUGAAUCCCACAAUAGACAAUAUUGAUGUUAACAACUCUUGCGUCAGUUACUAGACUCGUUGUUAGUAGCCCAUUCUUUACGGCAGACGUGGAAUUUACUUGAAGAAAUGAAGGUGUAAGAAAGUUGAGAACAUUUUGUUGAUUAUUCCCUUCCCUAGAAACUGCACUCCGCCAUCAAAGUAUCUUUCAAAGACUCCAGCAUCAUUUCUUGAUUAUCAAAGUCUUCGUCUUUGCCAUCUCCUGCUCUGAAAGUGCUUCUAUUGCAGACCACAUAUUAGUAGACAGACUACUAAAAUUCAUCUAAAAUGACCUCUCUGCGUGGGCUCUUUUGAACAAUCAGGGUUGGACAUGAUUCUACACGCAUCAGAGAAAAACUAUCAGCUCGCUAAAAACCUCUCUGCAUCAACUCUAUUGAAAAAAGAAACUAUGGCUCAUACAGUUUAAGUUGAUAUCAAAUAGUAAAUGAGAAUACUUGCAGUUUUAAAUUACUGCACACUAUUUUUUUAACGAAAAUAUGUGCAGUUUUAACAUAGUCUAAUUAUUUUCUUGAUGACGGCUAUGCAAAUUGUGAUAGUUGAAAAUCUUUUUAUGGUCUUUGACAAGCAUCAAGGAAAUGCAGGAAGGUUAUUUAUCGGCUGAUUAAUCUCUUUCUUUGUUUCUGAAAUUCCUUACAUUAGAUCUGUUGAGAGUCUUUACUGGGGAUAAUCUUCUGUCACUGGAUCUGUUGAGGUAACUUUGGGAUAAAGUACUGUCUCUAUUACAUGGAAGUUUGAACUGUUUCAUAUUUUUUAGACAACUAAAUGCACUUACAAACUCGACUUGUGUUUGAAAAGGUUCAAACACUCGAACCUUGAAAAGAACGAGAGAGAUAUUAUUGGAUCCAGAGGUCUUUAGUCAGGUCUAGUGCUUUCUUAAAUUAAUUUCCUAAAGUUUCAGUUAAGAUGUGAACCAAAGCUCUUGGAGGUGGUUCUCAUUGCUCUCUUUGUUCCAAAUUGGACUUAAAAAUUGUUGUGUGAUCCCAAGUUGCGGGUUUACUGAUGAGAACAAUAAAUAUUCAACUGAUGAUACCGAAGCGGCAGCAAUACUGCAAUUUCUUGUAAUAAUCAGAAGUACGAGUACAGAGCAAUGUCAAUAUGCUGGAAACUAUUCAGGGAGCCAUCACAGCUUAAUACGCCAAAAUACAAGACAAUGCAUAUGAACAUGGAACACUUGUUUUCUUUAUCUAAAAUUUUCUUUUGUAAAACAAAGCACCUUAUGUUGAUUAAUCAAUGAUAGAAAGUGAUAUUGCCGUAAACAGGUCAAGAAUUCAUUUUGUAGCUGUCUUCUUGCUCUUUUUAUUUUUCUUGCAUAUACUGAUAUACACUGAAUAUAGGUUUCUUUCAUUUCCUUGAAAUUGCAUUUUUGGAAGUAGCUCUCCAGACUCAUUCCCGUCACUUCUCAAAGUCUUAUUCCUCGUCAAUACUACAUACACAUAAUAUCACACAUAUUUGCUCAUGCUCAGAUGGGUUUUUCUUACAAACCACACAUGUUCACUUCUCAGAGUCUUAGUCCUCGUCAAUGUAUCUAUGUAUCUAUGUAUAUAUUAUAAAUCCUGAAUAGUGCCACGUCAUCAAUGCCACAUAUUUCAAAAAAAAGUCCACAUUGAUCCCACAGAUUUUAGAUUUUGCCAUGUCAUUAUAAUUUCCCUUAUUGAUUUAAGCGUAUCAGAAUAAUCAAUCACAUAUCUUUGAAUUCCUAAAAUUGAGUGUAAUCAAUGACCGACAAUUAUAUUAAAUUUUGCAUGGUAAUGCAAUAACUACAUUCCAUAAUCAUAGCAUUUUUUGAAUGUUAAAUUUGUACGGAACUAAUUAAAAUUGAAAAAGAUAAUUAUAUUGAAUAUACUGCCACAAUUGUUAAGCUUAUCAUGUAUCAUAUAACUACGCUUUAAUUAUAUUAACUUAUAUAUAAAUAAAUGAAGUGCUUAAAAAUUAAAAUUGAAAUUUAUAAUUAUAUUUUUAUUUAAUAUUUAAUAUCCGAAAUUCGUCUAAAAUUUAGCUAUGUUACAAAUAUGUUGCUUUUUAAUUUUCGGAAUGAUAUAUAUUACAUUUUCUAACAUAGUGAAAUAAGUAUUAUAAAAAGUAUUUUUAUAAAAAUAUUACGUCAUUAAUUAGUAUGUAUUAAGCAUUUUAUGUAGGUCAACUUAAUCAUAGUAGAUAUGUACUAUUACUUAGAGACAGCAAUCGGGUCGAUCGAAACGGGUUUCGCAAAUUCCAAAAUUGAAUCCAAACUAUAUUAUAAAUCCUGAACAAUGCCAAAUCAUCAAUGUCACAUAUUUCAAAAAAAAACCAAGUCAAUGGCAUCUAUUUUAAAUUUUGUCAUGUAUUAAUAGUACGUAUUAAACAUUUUAUGUAGGUCACCUUGAUCAUAACCAAUCAGAUGUCCUAAGAUUCCUAAAAUUGUGCGUAAUCAAUGGGUCGGUCGAAACGGGUUUCACAAAUACCAAAAUCGAACCCAAAUUAUAUUAUAAAUCCUGAACAGUGUCAAAUCAUCAAUGCCACAUAUUUCAAAAAAAAAGUCCACAACAAAAACGCCUAUUUUAAAUUUUGACGUGUCAUAUCAUAUUCCAUAUUUAUUUUAGACCAAUCACAUGUCCUAAAAAUCCUAAAAUUGGGCGUAAACAAUGACUGACAAUUAUAUUAAAUUUUGAAUGGUAAUGCAAUAACUACAUUCCAUGUAUCAUAGCAUUUUUUGAAUUUUGAAUUUGUACACAACUAAUGAAAAUUGAAGAAGAUAAUUAUAUUGAAUAUACUGUCACAAUUUUUAAGCUUAUCAUGUAUCAUAUAACUAAGCGUUAAUUAUAUUAAUUUAUAUAUAAAUAAAGUGUUUAAAAAUUAAAAUUGAAAUUUAUAAUUAUAUUUUUAUUUAAUAUUUAAUAUCCGGGAGUCGUCUAAUAUUUAGCUAUGUCACAAAUAUAUCAAUUUUUAAUUUUGGGAAUAAUACAUAUUAAAGUUUCUAACAUAGUGAUAUAGAUAUUAUAAAAAGUAUUUUUAUAAAUUUUAAUAUUACGUCAUUAAUAGUACGUAUUAAACAUUUUAUGUAGGUCACCUUGAUCAUAGUAGAUAUGUAUCACUGUUACAGAUAGCAAUCGGGUCGGUCGAAAUUGGUUUCGCAAAUACCAAAAUUGAACCCAAACUUGAAAAUUUUAGGAAUCUUAAACCUGAACUUGAAGGAUAUUACACGAGUAAUUAUUAUUUAUUCAACAAAUAAUAUUAAAUAUAUAUAAAAUAUUAAAUAUAAAUAUCUUAAUUUUGUUUUAAUUUUAUUAUAUAUUAAAUAAUAAAUAUAUUAUAAAAGAUAUUAUGUAUGUAUGUAUGUAUGUAUGUAUGUAUGUAUGUAUGUAUGUAUAUUUGUAUAUUCGGGUUCGGGUUCGAAAUGAGUUCCGGAUUUUCAGGUCGGGUUCGAAUCAAACCUGAUUCUGCCUGGUCCGAAAAUUAUUCGGGUUUAAAAACAAAUUUUUAUCCGAAACCCUAUAAUUUGGGUUUGGUAAAACACAAUCCGCUCGGUACGAGUUAGACUCGGGUUGGGUAGAAUUGUGACUGCCCAAUACCUCAUGAAACAAGAAUGUAGUAUAACUAACUAUCAUUAUAGUGGAUGGUCAUUCAAAUCUAUUUAUUCGAUUUGACGUAUAAUUUUGAUGUUCGUAUUAACAUAAUGUUUUGUUUGAUAUAUAAUUUUAGUUUAAUAUUGUUUGACAUAUAAUUUCACUUGAAUUUUCUUGAUAUAUAAUAAACUUAAGUAUAAGAGAGUUAUGUCUAAUAUAAUUUUUUUCUUCCUACUUUAUACUUUAUUUGAAAAUUCAAAUAUAAUUAUUUAUUAAAUGUAUUUGUGAAAUAAUAACAACAAGAUUCAAUAAAAAUUUGAAGCCCGUGCGCGGAGCGCGGGCAAAAACACUAGUAGAGAUAAUAUCUCACCAAUUUGCUUACAAACCACACAUGUUUUAGUUAUAUUUUUUGGUUUGGUACUCUCUUUUGGUACUACAAGUCUACAAAUGUGGAGUUUAUUAGUAUUAUAUUGUUAAAUAGUUUCAAAUACUAAAAACACUUAUAACAAUCCAUUAUCAUAUAAUAUUUCAUUAAAAAAUUAUAAUGAUAUUAUAAAUAAGAUUAUAAAUAUACAAUUUUGAAUAUCUUCUUUUAAUAAGAAUCUUCAUAUAACUUUUUUUACUUUAACGUGUUCUAUUUCAAUAUAAACACGAACCAUUACAUAACUCUUUUUAACUCUAAUCUUAAAUAUUAUUGUUGUCAAAAAAAUCAAGAUUACAAAAUUACGUUGAAAUUCGAUUGAUUAGAUUACUGAAUUUUUCAAAGGUAAUACUCGAUCAACUAUGUUUGGAAAAGAUUUAAAUUUUCUGAUUUUUUUUAUUUUUAAAUCUACGUGUACUAAAUUCGGAUUAAAUGUACUAAAAUCAUGAGGGGUUAUCCAUUUUCGAGUAAUCUGGAGAAAAUAUAUUCAGUUGAAUAAUAUAAUUUAAUUAAAAUUCAAUCCAUUGUUACUAAAAUAUUAAUAAAAUGAUGUUAAAAUUUAAAUUAUAAAUAAUAAAUUAUGAACUAUAUAUCCGCCCGUACUUCACACGGGUUAAAAGGCUAGUAUCAUAUUAUUUUCUAAAGAUUUGGUGCAGCCCUGAUAUUUCGCAACACGGAACCCUGAUAAUUGAUAUGCAGUGUUCCAACGUUCUUGCGGACCAUGUGUAAGUAGAAAAAUUAUCUAAAAUGACCUCUAUCCAAUGUGCGUGCAUGGACCGAACUCCGAAGUAUCUCAUACUUCAUGCAUGUACGGUGACAAACCUGACUCGCGUACAUCAUAUAAAAAAUUUCCAUGUAGUUAAAUUGACCUAUCUAUAUCACGGUGUGUCGGAUAAGCAUAUGAAAGUUGAAGAAACAAAGCUUUAAUAAAGUUGAGAAGAUUUCAAUACUAAUUAUUUCCCAAAUCUCCAUCUCCAACUUUAAACUCCUUUUGAAGAUAUUCAGUUGAAGAAAAAACUCGCAAAUUGUUUUAUUUUAAAAAAGUACAAAAAAUUGACAUCCUCUUCCAUUUCUUAAAACUUCCAUUUCUUAAAACACUGAUCAAAUCGUAUCAUAUUAAGUUUUAAUUCUGAUAAAAACUUAUUAUAACAUGAUUGAUUAAUUUAAAAAAUCUUCAUUUAUCGUGUACUAAAUAUUUUAAUUCUCUAAAAAAUGUUUAUAUAAUCGGAGAAUAUUUUUAAUCAAAUUACUAAAAAGAAUUUAAUAUUUAUGACCAAAAAAAUUAUUAUUUCUUCAAGUUACUUCUUAUUUGUAGUAUAAAUUAUUUACAGAUAAAAUUAAUAAACGAAUAAAAAAUAAUAUAUUUUAAUUAAAUAUAAACUCUCCACAUUUUGUGCUAUAUAUAUGCUAGAGAUGUUAAAUAGAUCUAAUCCCAAACAAAAUUUUUGAAGGAAAAAUGAAAAUGCAAAAUUUCAUCCUCUGUUUUUUCACGAUCAUUGUGAUGCUCGUCUUCUUGCAGCACAACCUAGUGGCUUGUUCAUUAAGCCCCCACUUGCAGAAACUUGCCUUGUUCCACUUUAACCAAACCUUAACAAUCAGUACUAGUAGCUACCUAGUGGAUUGCGAGUACCAUUCCUACGAAGAGAAUGCGCUUUAUUAUAUUCCUUCACGGGCAAAGACAAAGAAUUGGAGCAUGAGUUCUGAUCACUGCACAUGGGAUGGAGUUAGCUGCGACCACAAGACAGGGGACGUUAUCGGACUCGAUUUAAGCUGCAGUCAGCUGGAAGGAGCCAUUCUUCCUAACAGCACUCUCUUCCAGCUCUCUCAUCUCCGCUUCCUCAACCUUUCUGGGAACGACUUUUACGAUCAGUUCCCUCAGGAAUUUGGUUUCUUUGCAAAAGGUUUGACGCAUCUCAACCUCUCUAAUACUUAUUUAUCAGGGAGAGUUCCCUCGGGAAUCUCUUAUUUGCAUAAACUGGUCUCACUUGAUCUCAGUCGCAACCAUGAGGCUAAACUUGAAGAAGAAGUGUUUAAAUCAGUGUUGCAGAAUUUAACUCAUAUCAGAGUGCUUAAUCUUAAUAGAGUUAACAUCUCCUCUGUUUUGCCCGUGAAUAUCUCUACUUCUUUAAGAGUUCUUCAAUUGAGGUAUACUGAUAUACACGGAGUACUACCCCAAGAGGUUUUCCACCUUCCCAACUUGGAAUUUCUUGAUUUAUCAUUUAAUCCUGCCCUGAGAGCAACAUUACCCAAAGUUAAGUGGGGAAGUAAAGCUACUCUCCGACACCUUCUUCUUACAUACAUCAACAUAGAUGGAGGUAUACCUGACUCUAUAGGCUUUUUGGAGUCAUUAGUCACUUUAGAUCUGAUCGCCUGUAAUUUGUCUGGGCCGAUACCAAGAUCCAUUGGGCAACUCGUUCAACUUACUCUCUUGGACCUGUCUGAUAAUAAUCUCAGUGGCCCAAUUCUAUCUUUUUUAACACGCCUUGCAGACUUAAGAUAUAUCUCCCUUGACCGUAACAAUUUUACUGGUCCGUUUCCCUCUUUUCUUGCCCACUCCAGUAAACUAGUUGAGUUGUAUCUUGAUAGUAAUAGCUUUACUGGAUCCAUACCUCGUUCGUUGUUUCACCAUCCAUCCUUAGAGUACUUGUUUCUGGAUAGUAAUGCAUUCACGGGUCCACUACAUGAAUUUGAUUCUUCUUUCUCACGAUUGCGAUCUUUUUCUUGUUCCCACAAUUCACUCUAUGGAUCCCUUCCACAUUCAUUUUCUCAACUUGUCAAUCUCACUAGCCUAGAUUUAUCAUCAAACAAUUUCAGCGGGGUUUUGGAUUUGGAAAUGUUUUCAGGCCUCGAAUCUCUACAAUAUCUUGGACUUUCUCAUAACAGUCUUUCAGUGACAAGUACAAUCAGGGGCACUCUCCCUCCUACGCUUAACUACUUGGGCUUGUCAUCUUGCAACAUGAAAGAGUUUCCUCACUUUUCAAGAGAUGCAAACAUCUCCCUGGAGUUUGUAGACCUAUCAAACAAUAACAUUGAAGGGGAAAUUCCACACUGGAUUGGGUCAGUGUGGUACUCUGAGUAUUAUAACUUGCCCUAUCUGAAUCUUUCUCACAACAAACUAAUAGGCGGUCUUGAGCAACUGCCUUGGGGUUAUCUUACUUAUCUUGAUCUCCAAGACAAUAAGCUGAAUGGAUCGUUGCCCACCUUGAUGUGUAAUUCCAGCUCUCUUGAGAUUCUAAAUCUCUCUCACAACAAGUUGAGUGGUGUACUACCCAUUUGUCAUACAAAUUUGACUCCGCUUUCGGUUUUGGAUCUGCGGAGGAAUAACAUUCAAGGAAACAUUCCAGCAACCUUGUCAAAUUUCUGUAAUCUGGAAACUAUUAAUUUGAAUGGAAACCAAUUAGAAGGAAGCAUUCCUUCUUCUUUUGCUCAAUUUGAUUCUUUAGCCGUUCUUGAUCUUGGAAAUAAUCAGAUAAAUGAUACAUUCCCCCGGUGUUUGGAAGCUCUUCCAAAUCUCCAAGUUCUUGUUCUCAAAUCAAACAAGUUUUAUGGUCUUAUAAACACGAGUUCUAAGAUUGUACACCCAUUUCCUAGCUUGAGAAUCAUUGAUCUGUCGGAAAAUGAGUUUUCAGGUCCACUGCCAGCAAAAUACUUCAGAAACUUCAAGGCUAUGAUGAAUAGUGAAGUGAAUGAGGUAAAGCGUAGUUAUAUGGAGCAUCAGUAUUACAGUGAUUCCACAGCUCUAGUGAUUAAAGGCAUGGAGAUUGAUUUAGAAAGAAUUUUGACUGUGUUCACAACUAUUGAUGUAUCGAAGAACAAUUUUGAUGGGGAGAUAGCUGAAUACUUUGGAAAUCUAGUAUCACUCAGAUUUCUUAAUCUUUCUCACAAUCAUCUCACAGGCCACAUACCACGCUCGAUUGGAAAAUUGACUGUGCUGGAGUCACUAGACCUCUCAUCCAACCAACUUGAAGGAGAAAUUCCUCAGCAGCUCACUAGUGUAUAUUCACUUGCAGUUCUAAAUCUUUCUUGCAACCAACUUAGAGGCCGUAUACCAGAAGGGGCACAAUUCAAUACGUUUGAAAACAGCAGCUACGCUGGUAACUUUGGGCUGUGCGGACAUCCCUUGUCGAAGAAGUGUGAAUCUUAUGUUAGGACACAAGAAGAAGAUGACGAAGAUGAGGAUGAAUGUCACUUUUUCUGUGGUUUUACUUGGGAAGCGGUGGUGAUUGGAUAUGGGUGUGGAGUGGUGCCUGCAUUUAUCACUGGGUACCUGAUGUUGCUGGCAAGGAAACCCAAAUGGUUUGCUGGAAUCAUUGGCAGGGAAUUGGGGCUCAAGAUCAGGAGGAUGGAGAUUAGAAUGCGAUGACU
RNAcentral lists this long non-coding RNA (51487 nucleotides) under Daucus carota (carrot). RNAcentral's name for it is "long non-coding RNA (DCAR_LNC000860)". The record is from RNAcentral. Lineage: Eukaryota; Viridiplantae; Streptophyta; Magnoliopsida; Apiales; Apiaceae.